AAGGUCGUGCUGUUUUUUAAUAAUUUCAUUGCGAUAGCUUAUUCUUUUUUUGCUUUUUUUUUUCCCGGUACAAGUGCAUCGCUUUCUCCUCGUGAGAUUUGCUGUGAUGAAAUGGGAUGGAUUUGACUUUUUAGUCCGUAGACUUCACUUCUUUCCUUUUAUUUUUUUUUAUUUUUUAUAUAUAGUCAUGACUUUGUGUAGAAGUCGUGAGCGAAAUUUGAGUACGGCUAUUUCAAAUCUGAGUACCGGACAGUGCGGGCUUCACUGCGGUUGGGUUUACUCUAGGUCAUUGAAAAAGUUAAAAGGUUUCAAGCACUCAACAUGGAUGAUGGUUAUCUACCGUGCUCUUUGACCAUGAAUGAAAAACAUGAACUGCUUAAUCCUUCAAGUGGUCUCUCUUCGGUGGUUUCAUUAUUGUUGUAAAUAAGUUACCAAAACCCAGUUAGUGGAUAGUUUAGUAGUUGUUGCUUUGGGGGAUGACGGUCCAUAGUGAGUGGAGCUCAGCAUAUGCUCACGAAAGGCAUUGGACUUACCUAAUAUUUUACUUGUGAAAGUGUCUAAGCAAACGGCAUGUUUGCAUAUUUUAUACUCGACAGACUUAUCUGGUAGAUGCCUUAACAAUUAAAUCUUCAGUUUUCUUUUCUUCUAUUUUUCUAAUAGCACUUGGGGUCGAAUUUGCUUCAUUACUUGUAUUGAUUCACUUAUAAUCAUUUUUACUCUGUUAUAGUAACGUAUUAAAACGUGAAAUUCAGUCUCGAGUAAGUUUGUUUUCUUUAUUUGCCAGAACUCAUGUAAGUUUGUUCAAUAAGGGGAAUAUACUCUAGUUUUUUGUUGCUUUCUAAUAAAAAUGUUUCUUCUAAUUCAGUUAAUUUUCUUCACAGAGAUUCUUACCUUCAGAAUUUGGAAAUGAUGUGGAUCGUGUCCAUGCUGUGGAUCCAGCAAAAACUGCAUUUGCUAUCAAGGCCAAGAUUCGCCGCCUUGUUGAGGCCGAGGGAAUCCCUUAUACCUAUGUGUCUUCUAACUUUUUUGCAGGUUACUUCCUUCCAACAUUGUCGCAGCCUGGGGCUACAGCCCCCCCUAGAGAUAAAGUUGUUAUUUUAGGGGAUGGAAAUGUAAAAGGUAAGAAGCAAUUUCUUGAGAGAUGCACAUUUUAAUUUUUUUAGUUUUUUCUGUACAUUUUUCACAACUUAAUCACGGUAGUGAUCAGAGUGGGGCAGUUCUUGAAGCUUGCGAAUUCCAGGCAUCUUCUGUGUCUGGAGAUGUUGGCCUUUUACAUCCAUUAGUCUUCACUUUCAGAGACUAAUAGAUGACAUGGAAGUUAUUUGGUUUAUCUUGGCACAAUACCGCCUAGGCAGCAGAUCGUGAAGGUUAUCUUAAUGUAUUUGAUAGAAAAAAGAACGUAUGGAUGCAGUUGUGUGCGAGUUGUCUGGUGAUUCUGUUUACCGAGAAAAAUCUUCUUUGAAUGCGAGCUGAAAGUAACUCUAGGAAUAUUAAUGGCUUAUAUUUAUCAACUGAAUUCUAAAAUUCUCCCUGUCAAUAUACAGCGGUGUUUAACAAGGAGGAUGACAUCGGCACCUAUACUAUCAAAGCUGUGGAUGAUCCGAGGACCCUGAACAAAAUUCUGUACAUCAAACCUCCUGCUAACACCUACUCGUUUAAUGAUCUUGUGUCUUUGUGGGAGAGAAAGAUUGGCAAGACCCUGGAGAGGGUUUAUGUUCCAGAGGAGCAAGUUCUGAAGAAUAUUCAAGGUCAGGGAUGCGUUUCUAUUUGAUUUAAGCAUGUAGAAUUGUCUAUUUCUCUCUGAGAUUUAAGUAUUCUGAUGUUGAUCGGUCUACUUGUCUGGUGAUAUUGCAGAGGCGGCAGUUCCACUCAAUGUGAUAUUGGCCAUAUCUCAUUCUGUUUUUGUGAAAGGAGACCAAACCAACUUUGAGAUUGAGCCGUCAUUCGGAGUGGAAGCUUCAGAGCUCUAUCCUGACGUCAAAUACACGACCGUGGAUCAGUACCUUGAUCAGUUUGUCUGAUGGCCGAAACUGCCUGGGAUUGGUUGAUAUUUCACAGCAGUUUGAAUCAUGAAUAUUAUAGGAUUCUGCUUGUUAGGAUCCUUGUGUAAAAUGUCGCUCCCACUGAUCAUCUUAUGGCGUGUACAACCUUCAAAUAUGAGGACAUACUAUGAACAUUCGGUUUGUUUGCAUCUAUGCAGUGCUUGGAGAAGUUUCUUCUGUUUUGGAGUUGAUAUCGUUUUUUAUUUAUGGGAAAGCAAAAAGAAAGGCAUUGGGUUUCUCUGAUUUUGUGUAUUUUAUGUGGUGCGUCCUUGGUGUGGUAAUGAAUUGGAGCCUUUGACGAUGAGGUCCACCCUUGGCAAGGAUGUCGUGGCCUUCGCGCAGGCCUGGCGAUUGGCAGGGGAAGAACGGGGAAAAAAAGAAGGAAAAAAAAGAAGGCAGGAAGAAAUGCAAAGAAACAGAAGGAAAAAAAAUAAAAAAAUCAGAUUUUUUAUUUAAGUUGGUUUUUUUUUUUUUUAAUUUUUACGUUAGUAUUGGUUGUGUUGCAUUGUUGAUUGUAUUGUAAGGUAAAUUGUUAAAAGAUUUAGAAUCAAAUUAAUUAAAUUUAAAAGUUAAAUUUAAAAGUUGAGGAUUGAAUGAAUAUAGGUCGAUUGUUGUCGAGUCAUUCGACAUUUCAACUCUCGUGAUGUUUGCUUUUAUCAGUGGAGGUUGCGAAUUGUGAAUGUAGUAACCUUGGCCAAAAAAUUAAAGAGUUAAUAUUAAGAAAAAUUUUAAAUUAGUAUAUUCGUGAUAAGUUUAUUCUAAAUAAAUUUUUUGAUCAUAAAAAAUCUCGAACUAAUAUAUUUAUGAUAAAUUUAUUUUAAAUUGAUAAACUCGUGACAAUUGCUAAACUUUUCAACUGGUGUGAUGGAUAAAUUUACCCUCUAUUAACUUCCAUCAAAUUUUACCAUUAAAUUUGUCAAGAUAAAUGACACAUUGUGAUGUGUUAUGGUGACAUGGCAAGUCCACGUAAUAAUUCAUAGGAUUAAUAUCACGAAAAAUUCCAUAUUUAUUAUAGGUGUAUCGUUAAAUUUAUUACAAAAGUAACGUUAAAUUUAUCAUAAGUAUAUCAUUUUGAGUUUUUCAUGAUAUUUACCCUAUGGACAUGCCAUAUCAUCAUGUGUCAUCCAUGUUAGCAAAUUUAACAGUAAAAUUUGACAGAAGUUAAUGGAAAAUAAAUCUGUCGCAAGUUUAUCAGUUUUGAGUUUUUUGUUGUUAAAAUAUUAGUUUUGAGUAAAUUUGUCAGAAUCUAUCAAUUUGGGAUUUUUUGUGACAAAAAAAUAAUUUGAGAUAAAUUUAUUACAAGUGUACCAGUUUAAGUUUUUUGAUGGUAAAAAAAAUUAGUUUAAAAUAAAUUUGUAAUAAGUAUAUAGAAUUUGGGGUCUUUCAUAGUAAAAAUAGAAUCCCUAACACUUCACAAUUAUGAUUACUUAAAUUUAUAGCACCAUCAAAAUUAAAUUUUCUUGUUUUUUGCUAAGUUAAAUCUAUCUUACUUCACAAUAACUUAAUUGAUCACUGAAAUUGGACAAAAUUGUUAUCUUUUGUUUAUUUUCCCACUUUCCAUGUGCCCUUUCUCCGGUGAAGGAUUGUGUCAACAAGUAAGAUUAUUUCACUGAAAAGACGAUUAUGCCCCUUUCGGAAUCAAAAUCCAUUGACAAUCCAUCAUGAAGACAAGAACCCCCCCUCUCCACAGCAGAGUCGCUUCAGAGACCGAGCAAGUUCGCCGAGAAAAACCAUGCCUCCUGCUGGGAAAACUCUCCGAUGGCCGAUUAGAGCAAACUCCUGAUGAUUGGAGGCACUUAGGGUUUCAUAAUACCCUAGCUCAAUUUGAUUAUAGUCAAACUUUCAAUCAAAACUCGAGCUUGGAUUUUAUAAGCUCAAAUAUUAUAUCAUCAUAUAUAUUGUUAUAGUUAUCAAAUGCUUUUAAUAAUGAAAGCUCUAUAAGGUAUUGAGCUAAGUACUGAAAAGCGGAAACUCAACUCAAUAAGAUACUUGAGGGAUUUGAACUCGUGCUUGACUCAAAACUAAGCAAGUCGAACUCAAGCUACUCUUGAGUAACUCGACUUGGUUUUAGCCAUAUGCGCAAGUAGGGGUGUCAAAAAAGCCCACGUUGACCAGACCCUAGUUUUCUUUGGAUACAAAUUUUUAGAUGUUUGUAUCAUGAGGGUUGGGGUAGGGUUGGGCCGGGUUAGGCUUUUUUGACAUUCUAUGUAGGGUAGCUUUGAAUAAAUUUCUGAUUUUACACCUUCAAUGGAACCAUUUUACCCGUUCUCUUGUAUUAUAUGAUAUUCGAGUCUUAAGCGGGUUGGGUCAAGUCAAUCGCGUGCCCAUAGGGUUUUGGGUUGGGCCCAGUAUCAUGUAAACGCAGUCCCAUUCCCACCCCUUGACAUCCCUAAUGCGGGAGUGAAACCUUACUAGGACAUAGGCUCCAAUUUGAGCAACCUCUUUUGACCCAUCAUCUCAGCAUCAAGCCUUAGUUGACAAAAGCGAGUUGUAGGAUGUGUACGACAACCAUUCUAUUUCUGUUCCAAAUAAUUUUCUAUUUCAGAUUUGUUUAUGGAACAUAAAUCUGUUUGAUAACGCAAUUUUAUUUUUAUAUUUUUGAAAUAAAUUUUAAUCUAGAAAUAGGUUUGGAACAAAAAUGAGAAGUGGAAAUUCUUGUUAUUGCUUAUUCUCUCUACUAGUUAGUCACUUGCCCGUUGCUAUCGCCUGCCGUCCGCCACUGUUGUCCACCAUCCGUCGCCGGUUACCGUUGUUGUCGUCUGCCGCCUCCAAGGAAGGAGAAAUUUUGUAUCAAAAUUCUAUUCCGGGAACAGAAAUUUUACAUCAAUUAUUAAACAUGAAUUUUUCUCAGAAACUCAUCCAAAAAAAGAAAAAAAGAAAAAUCUAUUUCUUUUUUAAAAAUAAUUUCUAAUCAGAAUAAUUAUUAUUUGCGUCCGGUAGUUUUCAUCCAAUGCUGUCGAGACUUUACCACGCAUGCACCAUGGGCACUACGCACCUAACCCCGGUCAAAUUAUUCACUUUCGUUUGGUAGGACUCGUGCAAUGCUUCUGUUCUCCGCAUGCUUUUUAGUUUUUCCCUUCUUUUUGAAUCUUCUGGUCUACGGGAGUGCAUAUAUGUUGCUACUCCUGGGGUUCUGUCAAAAAAAAAAAAAAAAAGAAGAAGAAAGAAGCCACAAAAAAUAUACAAAUUAUGUCAACUGUGACAUAUAUAUAUAUAUUAAACUUUUUUUUUGUAACAUAAAAAUCCCCAAACUAUGAACUUUUUCUUGUUGUUUGACAUAUUUAUCCUCUGACAAGGUUUAUCAAAUGAUUUUCUAGCUAAAACAACGUCGGUUUAGCAUCAUGUUAAUAUCAUUUGCUUUCUGUCAUCCAUGUAAUCGAAUCUUGAUAAAGAGUAAAUGUAUCAUGUAAGUACAAGUUUUGGGUUUUUAGUGUCACACAAAAAUAUUUAGGGUAAAUGUGUAAGAGUGAGUAUAGUUUGAAAUUUUUGAAGGUCUUUUCCAAAAAAAAAAAAUGGUUAAUACCUUUAAAAGGUUAAUACCUUAAAAAACCUAAAACUGGUAUAUGUGUGACAAAUUUACCCUAAACUAUUUUUUUAACUAUGACAAAUCCCAAGUUGGUAUACCUAUGAUAAAUUUAUCUCAAAUUUGUAUACUUAUGACAAAUUUACCCUAAACUAAUUUAUAAUAUCGCCAAAAACCCCAAACUAGUACAUUUGUGAUAAAUAUAUCCUCAAUUAAAUUGAAUUAAUACCACAAAAAAUUGCAAAAUUUGUAUAACUGUGAUUAAUGGAGAGUAAAAUCCCAAAUUGAUACACCAACGAAUUGUCACAUGUCAUUCAACUUAAUAAUUUGACAGUAAAAUUUAACGGAAACUAAUGUAGGGUAAAUUGAUUAAAAGAAUACUAGUUGGGGUAAAUUUGUCAAAAAUGUACUAUUUUGAGGUUUUUGAUCGUCAAAAAAUUAGUUUGAGGUAUAUUUGUUAUAGGUGUACCGGUUUGGGAUUUUUCAGGGCAUUAAUCCAAAAAAAUGGCAUUGGUGUACUUGACUAAGACAUAUAACUACCUUUUGAAAAUUGUUUGUUUGUGAUAACAUGCUAAAAGGGGUUUUUCUUUAGCUUGUAAUACGUUUUAAUGUGCAUAUAACUAUGCCCGUGCUAUUUAAGGUUCUUAAUUCUUAUGUUCGUUGGCUAAUUCUUUUCACACCGGCCGUCAAGGCUUAAAUGGCCCAUUGAUGAUCGUUUUUACCAUUGCUCAUAUAGUUUCAUGUCGGCGUAAAUCUCUCAAUGUUAGUUGGAUGAACUUUUAGACGACCAUUUACUAAAUUAAGGAGAUGGAUAAAAGGAAAAUGUCAAAGAGUGCUCCUUAGGCACAUGUUAAGUCUUAUUAAAUUUGAUUUGAAAAUUUAAAGUUAAUUAUUUGAAGCAAGCGAUUUUAUUAAAAUAUAUGGACCUGAGCAGGUCCUUAAACUGCUCUACCCUGAAUAGGGCAUCCCAGGGUGCCCAGUUAGCCCCCAUUUACAGGGGGUUUAACUGGAAAUUACGGGAUAAAGUCCCCAUUGGGUAUCCUCGCCAACUCCCGACAAGGGAGGGGACCCACCAUUGGAUCCCCGUGAAGCCCUUCUCCUAACAUACUAGGUUGGGUUCAGGGAAAUGAAGAUGGCCCGGGCAGCCCCCAUUGAAGCAAGCGAUUUUAUUAAAAUAUCUAAUUGUAAUUGUAUUGAAAGGUGUUACUUUUAAAUUUCUUCAUAUUUACUUUUAUAAAGAUUAGCAGGAUUUACACCAAUUGGUCAAUGCUUUGAAAGGUCCCAACUUCAUUAAUGCUUCAAAGACUUUUGUAGAUACCUCCACCUUUCGAAAAUGAUGAAUCGGGACAUCUUCAUGAAUCUGGACAAUCUGAAGAUUUUUUUUAUUAAAUCAGAAACCGUUGCAAAAAGCCAAUUUACAUGGUUGUUGUUACAUAAAUUAAAGUGGAAAAGUAAAAUUGAAAUUACACAAGCUGCCCGUUCAACACUGACUAUCCAAUAUUUUCCCAUAUUUUUACAAAAGUUUCAUACUUUUCGUUCCUAUAAUUCACUAAUAUUUCUAAUGAUUUCCCCACGCUUUCAAUUAUUCUAAAAUUAUUUUUAAUUUUCAAAAAAUAUCUAAUCAAGUUUUUUCAACAUUAAAUUCGAUUGACGUGAUUGUUUAAGGCUGCCAGAAUGUGAUGUUGAUCAAAUAUUGCUUACUUAUAAAAAUAAUUAAUUGACUAGAAAAGUAUGGGGAUCUAAGCUUUGGAUAGAGUUUUCAACAACCAGUAGGCAAUAUGAUCCACAACACAUUUUGGCAUCAUUCGACAGACAUGUUAAUUGGACUUGGCCGAAUUUGAUGAUGGAGAGAUCGACUAGGCAUGUUACAUGAGUAGAAUCACUUGAUUAUAAAAAUUAAAAUUAUAGAUACUUGAUUAAGAAAAUGGUGAAGGUACAGAGAUUAAUAUAACUUCGAAUACUUUACAUGUCCUAAAAAAUCUCGUCAUAAUUGAAACCCGAGGUUUCGCUUUGCAGAUUUUUUUUUUUUUGGCGAGCAAGGAUGAAAUUUCCAUAGUGAAUUGGUUAAGGAUAAACUUAGAAAUAACGAGAUUAAGGAUAAAUUUAGAAAUAACGAGAUUAAACAAAAAUUUAUGGAUACUUGGGAUUUAUCGAAUUGAUGUUAAUGUUUCAAGGAAUCUUGUAGGCGUGGAACUGACAAGAAGAAGAAAAGGCAAAUGCAUGAUGAAGAACCUGGACAAUUUCUCGAACCAAGUUCCUAUCUCUAAAGCCCGACCAUUCGUUGAUAGUGGGCGUGCGUCAUUUUCUUGAUCAUGGCACUUCCAAAUAUCUCGCUUACUUUACAAAUUAAGUAAUGGUCCAAUCUUAAAAUCCUUUACAUUUAAUGAUAAACAGAUUAUUGGGUUAUGUGCUUGAUUCACUUAAAUCAUGCUCGCUCUUCAAUCCUUCAAUGAAUCUAACAAGGUUGCUCUCCUUUUUUUUUUUUUUUUUGUUGUUGUUGUUGUUGAGGAUUUGUGAACUAAUUGUAUAGCUCAUUGUCCCUUCAGACUAUUAUCACUUCCUUCUUUCGAUACCAUAAAGUAAAUCUAAAAUGUGAUCACUUCUUCCUUACUAGACAAUUGAAAAACCAAUGUUAAAUGUAAUGGCUUGAUACGCUGGACUUGAGCAUGUCCUUAAACUGCUUCUGUUAUCGGAGUUAACCCCAACGGUAAAAUGAGAUAAUGAUAACUGGAGGAGACCGGACCAAACCUUAAACGGUUCUCCCCGCCUUGAUUCCCGUGAAGCCCUUCUCCUUGCGUACUAGGCUGAGUUCAGGAAAAUGAUAGGCAGCUGGUCUGAUAGUGGGCGUGCGUCAUUUUCUUGAUCAUGGAACUUCCAAAUAUCUCGCUUACUUUACAAAUUAAGUAACGGUCCAAUCUUAAAAUCCUUUACAUUUAAUGAUAAACAGAUUAUUGGGUUAUGUGCCUGAUUCACUUAAAUCAUGCUCGCUCUUCAAUCCUUCAAUGAAUCUAACAAGGUUGCUCUCUUUUGUUGUUGUUGUUGUUGUUGUUGUUAAGGAUUUGUGAACUAAUUGUAUAGCUCAUUGUCCCUUUAGACCAUUAUCACUUCCUUCUUUCGAUACUAUAAAGUAAAUCUAAAAUGUGAUCACUUCUUCCUUACUAGACAAUUGAAAAACCAAUGUUAAACGUAAUGGUUUGAUACGCAAUUGAAAAAAUAAAAUCAUAAUAUGAAUUAAAUUCGAGUAUUUCACACUUCAAAAUUACAUGAUUGCUUAAAUCUUCAGCACCAUUAAAUUUUCUUAUUUUGGCUUAUUUCACACGUAUUUGAUUUUCUUCUGUUUAAUUUUUUCACUUUUUUUUUCUGGCGAAUUGUUUAUUUUCAAACUUUUUUUUUUCUAUCGAAGUUUAUUUAUUUGCAAACUUUACAUGUACCUUUUUCGUUGAAAGCGGUAAAAAAUCAUUUCAAUGAAAAGACUAUUAUGCCCUUCGAGAGUCGACGCUAAUCCCCCCCCCCCCUCUCUCUCUCUCUCUCUCUCUCUCUCCAGUCACAGCAGAGUCGCUUUUAGAAGCCGAUCAAGUUCGCCGGAAAACACCGCGCCUCCGCCGUGAAAACCACUCAGAGAUGGCCGCGAAGAGCAAGGUCCUGGUGAUCUGAGGCACUGGAUACGUCGGAAAGUUCAUCGUAGAAGCCAGUGCUAAGUCCGGUUGCCCUACCUUUGCUCUCGUGAGGGAGUCCACUCUCUCCAACCCUGCUAAGGCCAAGAUCGUCGAAGGUUUCAAGAGCCUCGGCGUCAAUUUAGUUCACGUGCGUAGUUCUUCCCGUGCGAUCGUGUUCGCUUCGCAUGUUUGGUUCUGCUUUGAGAAAAUCAAAGCGGCGCCUGCCGUUAUGUCUCGUUCCGCAUUUCCGAGAAAUGUUUUUACCACUAGAAUUGGAGUCGAUUUUUCAUCUCAUUAUGGAUGAAUGGUGUACCAUCUAGAUGAAUUCAUACAUAUUCGUACGUGUUACUCGGAGAUCGACAUCUUUACACAAACAAAAAGGUUCUUUGACCCCAAACUCGUGCUCUCCCCAAUCUCGGUCCUUGUAUGGAUAUUGGGCUGCUUACAAACUCCAGGAGGCUUUAUUUAUUCAGAACCUGUGUGGUUGGAUUUCUUCUAGGUCACCGAAAAGAACAAAGAGUUUCUAGCACUCAAUAUGGAUCAUGGUCAUCUACCCAGCUCUUGGAUCAUGAAUGCAAAUCAUGAACUACUUAAUCCUUCAAAUGUUCUUUUUUCGGUGAUAUUAUUAUUGUUGUAAAUAAGUUACCAAAACACAGUUAGUGGAUAGUUUAGUCGUUGUUGCUUUGGGGGUUGAUGGUUUAUAAUGAGUAGAGCUCAGCAUGCUCACAAAAGCCAAUCAACUUACCUGAUAUUUUUUUACUUGUGAAAGUGUCCAAGCAAGCAGCAUGUUUGCAUUUUUAUACUGGACAGAGUUAUCUGGCAAAUGCCUUAAUAAUUACAUCUUCAGUUUUCUUUUCUUGUAUUUUUCUAAUACCUCUGGGAUCGAAUUUGCUUUGUUGCUUGUAUUGAUUCACUUGUAAUCAUUUUUUACUUUGUUAUAGUAACACAUUAAAAUGUGAAAUUCAGUCUUGUUUUCUUUAUUUGCCAGAACUCAUGUAAGUUUGUUCGAUAAGGGGAAUAUGCUCUAGUUUUUGUUGCUUUCUAAUAAAAAUGUUUCUUCUAAUUCAACUAAUUUUCUCCUCAGAGAUUCUUGCCUUCAGAGUUUGGAAACGACGUAGAUUGUGUCCAUGCGGUGGAGCCAGCAAAAAGUGCAUUUGCUAUCAAGGCCAAGAUUCACCGCCUUGUUGAGGCCGAGGGAAUCCCUUAUACCUAUGUGUCUUCUAACUUUUUUGUAGGUUACUUCCUCCCAACAUUGUCAUAGCCUGGGGCUACAGCUCCCCCUAGAGAUAAAGUUGUUAUCUUAGGGGAUGGAAAUGUAACAGGUAAGAAGCAACUUGAGAUUCGCAUUUUAAUUCAUUGAGAUUUUUUUGGAAAUUUUUCACAACUUAAUUAUUGUAGUAAUCAGAGUGGGGCACUUCUUGAAGCUUGAGAAUUCCAAGCAUCUUCUGUAUUUGGAGAUGUUGGCCAUUAGUCUUCUCUUUCAGAUAUUAAUAGAUGAUAUGAAAAUUCUGUGGUUUUUCUUGGCACAAUACUGCCUAGGCGGCAGAUCAUGAAGGUUAUUUUAAUGUAGUUGGGAGAGGAAAGAACAUAUGGAUGCAGCUCUCUGGUGAUUCUGUUUACUGAGAAAGUUCUUUGAAUGUGAGCUGAACGUAACUCUAGGAAUAUCAAUGGCUUAUAGUUAUUAACCAAAUUCUAAAAUUCUCCCUGUCAAUACACAUCGGUGUUUAACAAGGAGGAUGACAUUUGCACAUAUACCAUCAAAGCCGUGGAUGAUCUGAGGACCCUGAACAAAAUUCUAUACAUCAGACCUCCUGCCAACACCUACUCGUUUAAUGAUCUUGUGUCUUUGUGGGAGAGAAAGAUCAACAAGACCCUGGAGAGGGUUUAUGUUCUAGAGGAGCAAGUUCUGAAGAACAUUCAAGGUCAGGGAUGCGUUUUCAUUAGAUUUAAGCACGUGUAUUGUGACAUCCUGAUUUUUAGGAUUUUGUUUUCAAUUUAAUAAGUUGGGCUUUUCUUUGAGCUGAUCACUCACGAGAUAACUAGACUAUCUGAUGAAGCUGUUAAGGGAUUUUAUGCAAUAGACUUGAGAAUUUGACUAAAAAUUGACUGUUCGACCGUGCUAAUCUGCAAGGGUCACUAUGACACCGUCAAAAUUGAUCAGAGAUCGGAGAUAGGUUGAUUUGAUAGAGGUAUGUGAUUAGUGUGUGAGUGAUUUCGCCUGAUUACAAAGUUUCUGUCAAACGACACUAGACCGAUUUUUCUGUCAUUUUUGUAUCCUGUGCCCGUAUUUGAAAUCUCGAAAUUUUCACGACAACCGAGAGUUGUCAAUGUGUCGAAGAUGCACAAUGUGGCUCGAAAAUAAUCGACCACGGGUCCUAAAAGCUACCUAAUAGGCUAGGUCACGCUAAAAUCGCGCUAGAUUGAAAUUAACUGCGAAUUUAAACUUGAUUUCAAAAAUUGAAAGUUCUGUUAUGUCACAAUUCAUUUAAGGAAUGUCAACUUAUUCUUCGAAGAUUUUUCUACAAACCGAUAUUCUUGGCGAAAAUUCAAAGUAGGACCGUUCUUGACCAGGAAAAUCAGAGGACCGUUUUUGGUCGUGUUUUUGGGAUUCAAGUUGGAUAAAUUGAUGAGGGAAAAUGUGAAUUCAAGUGUGGGCAUCUUGGUUGAAUUUAUGGGCAUCAAAUUAGGUUCAAUUAAGGGAGAAUUGGAGGGGAAUUGAAUCAAUUUGAGUGGCCAAUGUACAAAAUUCGUAGGCCAUGGGGGACUCAACCUUUUGGACUAUUUGGGAAGUGUGUUGAGGAAGAUUGAGGGCUGCAAAUUGGCCAUGGAUGAUUGCCCAAGUGGUGGGGGCAUGCAAUGAUCAACUAAGGGGAUAUUUAGGCAUUUUGGGACCCUCCAAGGUGCAACUGGCUUCGUCUUCUUCAAGUGAGCUACUUAACGAUUGUUGAGAGUCUGGGAAGCUUAGAGAAACAAGAGAAACCGGCCAGCAGCUCCCCCUUCACCGUCGACUACCGCCGGAGCCGCUAGGACCACCGCUCACCGCUCGCAAGCCCAUCGUGCCACCCGCGAGCCCGCGUGCGUUGUCCCGCCUAUCUCGCCUCCUGUUGUGCCCAGUCACGUCCCAAGUUGCCUCAGGCCACCGUCGCAGCUUGCCAGGUCACCAUCCAGGCCGUCGGAUCAAUCGCCAUCGCCGGUCAUUGCUCGCAGCAGCCCCGUCCACCUGUCCUUGCCGUUUCCAGGCCAGCCAGCCGCUCAAGUAGCCUCUCGAGCCUAGGAGCAGAAGCCGAAGCUAGCAAGGGUCUUUGGGCUUCGUGGCCUGUUUUUAGGUCCAUUUAGUCUCCGGGCUUUGUGGACUUUUUAGGCCCGUUUGGUCUCCAUUUGGUGUUGCCAUAGGCUCGGUUAUUGCCCAACUCUUCAUUGCCAUCGUUGUGGACUUACUGGAUCGCUAAACCGGUGAGUUUACUUGCUAAAAUAUGUUUAGGGAGUUAAUGACGCUUAGUGGAUAAUUAGUUUAGGCUAAUUAGGGUUUAUGUGGCUAGUUAAAAUAGAUUAGUGAUUUAAUUAUCCGUUUGUGCAUGUUAGGUGGUUAGAACGGAUAGAUUAGGGACUAAAGUAGUCGUACUAUUUAUCUAGAUAGGUUCAGAAAAUUUCUAGGCCCGUUUAGGUGGUUAGAUUAGCGUGGCCUAAGUUGCUAUUUAUUGCAUUAAAAUUGAAUUAUUUAGUUAAAUUUGGUAUUUAUUUAAUUAUUUAAUAUUUUCCAAAAAAUAUAUCGGGAUAGCCGGUGACUGGAAUUUCGUGCUGAUUGCAAUUGUGUGCUUGGUUUACUUAAUUGAGUGUUAAUUUGUGCAAAUUGAGUGGUGAUUGAAAUUUUGGUUAUUUAUUCCAAAAUUGUGAAAUUUGAAUAUUUAAUUAGAAAAUCCCAAGUGUCGGGUUUUGAUAUCGAAAAUAGUUUUAAAGAAUAUAUCAAACCGUGGGAUUUUAAAAGGAAGAGCAUUAGUUUUUCUGGUUCAAAUUGACCGUGUACCCACACACAAUUAUUUUAUCGUGUAUUUUUUAUACGAAGAAAAUAGACCAUGUUUACUAUUUUAAUUGAGGCAUUUGAGUACAAUGCAUGGUGUUUUGGGCCGAUGUUGAAUGGUCGUGCGUUGGUUAAGAGAACCAGUCCCCAAAAUGAGUCGGGUGAACGUGCCUUGUGAAAUCCUAGAAUUUCGAUUAUGCUUUCAAUUGAAUAAAUCGGGCAUUUCAUCGACGCGCCUAUAGUGCUAUUCUCAGAACUAAUCACUCGUGAGAUAACUAGACUAUAUAGGGAAGUCAUUCAGAGAUUUUAAGGCAGAUAGAUUUGAGAGUUCGACUAGGAAUCGGCUGCUCAGUCAUGCUCAUUUGUAGAGAUCAUUACGGCAUAGUUACAAAUCACUUAGAGAUCAGAGCUAAGAUGUGUGGCUAAAAGUGGGUGAUUCCAAUAAAUUGCAAAAUUCUCGUCGAUCGGCACUAGAUUGAUUUUUCUAUCAUUUUGGUACUGUGUGUCUGUAUUUGAAUCUUCGAGAUUUUCACGACAACCUAGAGUUGCCAAUGUGUUGAGUGGGUUCAUUGUGGCUUGAAGAAAAUCAACCACGGGUCAUUUGCACUAAAAAGUUCUGAAAGCUACUCAGUAGCUUAGGUCACGCUUAAAUUGCGCUGGAUUGAAAUUGACCGCGAAUUUGAAUUUGAUUUCAAAAAUUGAAAGUUUUAUCAUGUCACAGGUCAUUUUAAGAACGUCGACUCAAUUUCCGAAAAUUUUUCUGCAAACCGAGAUUUUUUGGGAAAAAGUCGCCGUAAGGCUGUUUUUGUCCAGAAAAUGUCAGGGACCAUUUUUGAUCGUGCAAUUGGAAUGCAAGUGAGUUGUAUUGGUGAGGAAAGAUACAAAUUUGAUUGGGGACUUAACAAAGAAAUUUUUAGAAGCCAAAUUAGAUUGAAUUAAGAGGCAAUUGGUGUCCAAUUGUUGGGAAAACACAUGAAAUUUGUAGUCCCCCCACCACCCAUGACUUAUGGACCAAUUCAAGCUUCUAGAAUGGAGCUUUGGUGGCUAAUUUUUAGCUAAGGGGUGCAGCUGGUGGAAGGGAAUGGUCAAGGGGACCAAUUUGAUAAGGUUGAAGGCUUGAUAGGCCCCUUGUCCCCUCAUCUCUCCCUCUCCCUCUCCCUCACUUGUCAUCGACAGCCUCUUCCUCCCCCUUCAUUGUGCUUUGAGGACUUCCAAAUCUGCAGAGAAGUCCUCGCCACUGUAGAAGCCACCACCCAUCGUUGUUCGCCGCCCCGCCUUGCGCGCGCCACCACACCUUGCUUGCGCGACCCCGACUCCCUAGCUGUCUUCAUUCGCCUUGUUCGUGCGUCUAGCAAGCCCUUCAGCCAGCACGGGCCACCGUCCAGCUCACCUCAGUUGUCGUGAGGCCCCGCCGUUUGCCGCUGAGCACCUUUGCUGCCUUUGUUGCCCUUGCUCGCCCCAACCAGCCCAUUUUUUCCUCUCUUUAAGCCCAAAAUAAUAGCUGAAGAAGUGGGUUUCCAGCAGCAUCUUUGGUCCGUUUUGGAGGUGUUCUGAACCUUGGUUGCCAAGCCCGCUUUGGAGAUAGUUGAGCCCUGCCGCGUCCCCGUUGUUUCGAACUGAACGGUUCGUUAAUCAAGUGAGUUUAACUCACUAAUUACUGCUUAGUAAGUUAAUUAUGCUUAGGGGUUGAUUAGUUUAGACUAAACUAGGAUUAUGUGGUUAGUUAGAUUUGAUUAGUGAAUUUAAUUAAUUGCUGAUGCAUGUUAGGUGGAUAGUUAGUGCAAUUAGAGCCUAGACAAGCUCUAGUAUUAAACUAGAGUGGUUCGGAAAUUUUCCGGGCUUGUCUCGGCUUCCAAUUAGGCUUUACCGGGCCUAAGUUGCAUUUAUUGCAUUUAUUUAUUAAUUUGUGUAAUUAAUUAAUUAUUUCCAGAAAUUAGAUCGGGAUAGUUGGUGACCAGAAUUUUAUGUCGAUUGCAGUGGUGCAUUCCGUUUAAUUAAUUGAUUAUUAUUUUGUGCAAAUUGGCUGUGUUUUGUGAAAUUAGUUAUAUAUCCCAAUUUUUAUUAAUUUUAAUAAUUAAUUGAAUAUUUAUCGGGAGUGGGUCUACAGCGCCAAAAACAUAUUUCUAGACUGCUGAAACCAGUAGGAAGUUCAAUUUUGAAAUUAUUGCAUUUUGGCUAAAGCCGACUGUGUACCCACAUACCGCUAUUUUUAUCAGGUAUGAUAAAAAUGAUAAAUUGAUUCAAUGAUCAAAGUUAUAUAUUUUAGUAUCAGCUUCGGGUGAGCUAUAUAUGUGUAAUUUAUUAUUAUCAGCUUUGGGUGAGCUAUAUAUGUGAUCGAUUCUUAUUAGCUUUGGGCGAGCUAUAUAUAUUUAUCAGCUUUGGGCGAGCGAAAUAAAUUAUUAGUUUUUGGCAAGCUAUACUAUAUGUAUUUUCAACUUUGGGUGAGCGGUCAUGAUUUGAUAGGACAUUAUAGAUAGUAUUAAUUGAGUUGACCGAGGAGUGGUCAUGAUGACAUGUAAUCGACUAAGUCGAUUGAUCGAUGGUUCGAUCUGAUUUGAUUGGGUGAUGUGGUUGUCAGUAAUUAAUUGAACUGACUUGCUGGAAGAAGUGGAGGCCAAGGUAAGUCCUCUAAUGCUUGAUUGUGCUUAGCAUCCCUUAGGGUGUAUUUUCUUCCUAAUCAGGUCUUAGGGGGUUCAACUUGCUGAGACGUCGUCUCACCCUGUUGUGGGAUAACAAUUUUAGGCCCAUAUAUGGCAGCCCCGCCUGAACAUUUUGGACAAUCAAAGAAAUUCACAGAACAUAGUUACCACAUUUCGAUACAUGGGCACCCCAAAGGACUAGAAUAUGUGUCGAUGAAAUCCAUAGUCUGGGUUGAUGCGAGUUUACCCAAAAAUGUGUCCCAUCAAUACCAGUCAUGGUAUCGCCAUUAUCAUAAUGGCCAAAGGGAGGGCCCUAUACCAGAAUGUGAGAUACCUCUGUAUGUGAUGGAGGUUGCUUUUGGAAAUGGUACGUUAGACCCUAAGGACGGAUCGGUGGUGGACCCGAAGGAUCCUAAGCUUGAUGAUCCAAAUUCUCCGGUGUAUUCGGCAAAAGGCUCUAAUGAGGAUGAGGCUGUGGAGCAAGAGGAGUUUGAGGAGGACGAGUAGCCGUAGUUUGAGAAAACCCCACCUAUGUUUGCAGACUUUGUUUUUUGACUGGUUUGUGUGUAGGACCUGACUUGGGUAGUUUGGAUUGUAAUAUAUGCAUUAUGGCAUGCAAUGUAUAUAAGUGUGGUUAUGGUUUUAAAAAUUCGCGGUCCUACUUUCUUAUCCCAUUGUUUUAUUAUUUGGGGAUUAUAUAACUGCUUUCGCAUGCGUAUAUUAAAAUGAAUAGGUCGACGAUGCAUCCUGGGAUAUCGCUAAUAUAUUGACCAAGCAGGGAUGGGCAUGGGCUUGGAGGAUCAGGACGUGACAUCCCUAUUUAUUGGUAUCAAAGCGUGGUUGUUAGAAAUUGGAGUGAUAAGGUGCGAUGGUUCAUGGGAUAGUAAGUAGGAAAUGCCUUUAAAUUCAUGCUGGUGCAUGUUUGUGAUAGUUGUUUGGUAGAAUUGCUUGUUACGUGGAUCGCUCAACUUCUAAUCUAGUGUGGAUUUGGAAGACAGGUUUCAGUAGAAAACUGAGCCAUGAGCGAUCAUGAGUAGAGGACUCCUAGUAAGAGAAUCGUGAGGCCUGUAUCUCGGGGUAGGACGUCGAUGAUGAUCGAUGCUCGAGGAGGCCGUGGUAAAACGCCAAUUGAGGCUAGCGCGAGUGGCGUAACACCACGUCCUGUUGGUGCUGGGGUAGCAACCUCAGGUGAUUAGGGAACCAUUGGGAUCACCCAAGCUUUGGACGCCAUGAGAGAACUGAUGGGGCAACAUGCCUGGGAUCAAGUUGCCACCUUCAUUGCCGCUGUUGUAGCCGCCGCUACUGUUGCUGUUGUCGUCGCUUCUAAGGCCGCAGUCGUUGCCGCACCUGUCGCCGCACUUGUCGUCGCUCAUGCUGAGAUUCUGCCAAAGAAUGUGGCUGCAAAGAGACCGAUCCACAAGCUAGUGGAAUAGUUCUUAAAGCUAAACCUGCCUAGGUUCACGUGUUCUAGAGAUCCAGAGACUGUCUCUCUUUGGAUUCAGGAUAUGGAUAGGGCAUUUGCACUUUUGAGGUGUAACGAAGAAGAGAAAUUGGUAUUGGCGGUGUACCAACUACAAGGUAACACCAACAUUUGGUGGAGAGCUGCCAAAGAGUCAGUGUUUUCGGAAGGUGUGGUCCCGGUGUGGGACGCCUUCCUCAGAGCAUUUAAUGAUCAGUACUUUUCGGGUAGCCCGAGAACAAAAGAUGGAGGAGUUUCAGCAUCUUCACCAAGGUAAUAUGAUUGUUGACCAAUAUGGGGUCAAAUUCGCUGAACUUUCUUAGUACGCGCCAAGAUUGAUCGAAGACUCUAAAGACAAGGCUCGAAGGUUCAAGAAUGGCCUUCGGAAUGAAUUGAAACAACCAUUGAUGCUGUUCGAUUUGAAGGAUUACCGAGAGAUCUAUAAUCAAGCCUAGCUGCUGGAGAGGAGUUUGAACGAACAAGCCGCCUCGUUUGGAUUGAGGUUUAAUUCAAACAGAGAUGCGAUUCGUCAUGGAAAGAAACCCAUGACUGGAGGUAGAUUUUAGAUCCCACCCAACAUAAAAUGUGGUGUUGGCUAGCUAGGGCCAAAUCAAAAUGGGUUGUGUCGCUUUUGUGGAAGGCGACAUGGUACAGCUCUAUGCCCUUGAAGGCCAUGUGUUUGUUUUGGAUGUGGCUAAUAGGGCCACAUGGUUAGGGAUUGUCCUAGUAGACCAAGAGGACAACCACAGCUACUGCCGCCACCACCGUUAGGACAGAUUAGAGGGUAUGCGCCUCAGAAUGUACCGCAAGGAGGACAGCUCAGACCUCCAGUUCAAGGCAUGGUGUUUGUUAUCACUCAAGGUCAGGCAGAGGCAGAGGCUGUACCUGACGUGAUUACAAAUAUGGUUUCGCUAAACAACCAUUCUACUUAUGCUUUAUUUGACCCAGGAGCAACUCAUUCCUUUAUUGUCAAGUAGUAUAUUAAGUUGAUAGGAUUAAGUCCUGAAUUGCUGGAGUAUGUUGUUAGCAUAUCUACACCAUUGCAAGGUGCAGAUGCAGGAAUUAUUGGAUAAGGGAUUUAUACGUCCUAAUGCAUCACUUUGGGGAGUGCUAGUUCUAUUUGUCAAGAAAAAUGAUGGUUUGUUGCGCUUGUGCAUCGACUAUCGACAACUCAAUCAGGUGAUGAUCAAGAACAAGUGUCCAUUGCCGAGGAUCGACGACUUGUUUGAUCAGUUACAAGGAGCGUCGAUAUUUUCGAAAAUUGACUUGAGGAUAUGAUAUCAUCAGCUGAGGAUCAGGAAAGAAGACAUUCCAAAGUCAGCAUUCGUACUCGGUAUGGUCAUUAUGAGUUCACUGUGAUGCCAUUCGGGUUGAUGAAUGCUCCAACUGCUUUUAUGGAUUUGAUGAACCAAUUGUUUAAGGAAUAUCUAGAUCAGUUUGUGAUCGUGUUCAUUGAUAAUAUUCUAGUGUAUUUGAGAAGUGCUGAGGAGCAUGAGAAUCAUUUGAGAUUAGUGCUCCAGACCUUAAGGAUUCAUCAGUUGUAUGCUAAGUUUAGUAAAUGCGAGUUUUGGUUGACUCGUGUUGUGUUCUUAGGUAACGUGAUUUCAUGAGAAGAAAUCUCCGUGAACCGGUCCAAGAUUGAAGCAAUGAUUAACUAGCCGAGAGACUGACUACCGUAACAGAGAUCCGAAGUUUUUUUGGGUUUGGCAGGUUAUUAUAAACAAUUCGUAGAGGAAUUUUCAGCUUUAGCAUCGCCAUUGACAAGACUUCAGAAGAAAGACGAGAAAUUUGUGUGGACAGACAAGUACGGGUGUAGUUUCCAAGAGUUGAAGCAAAAGCUAACUACCGCACUUUUGCUGACGAUUCCAUCUGGUCCUAAAGGGUACAAGAUCUAUAGUGAUGCGUCGUUCAGACGACUGGGUUGCAUGUCGAUGCAAUAUGGUAAGGUUGUUGCAUACGACUCUUGCUAGUUGAGACCUCAUGAACUGAACUACUCGACGCAUGACUUGGAACUCGCAGCAAUCAUAUUUGCGUUGAAGAUUUGGAGACAUUACUUGUAUAGGGAAAGAUUUUAGAUCUUCACGGACCAUUAAAGUCUCAAGUACGUGUUCUCUCAAAAGGAGUUGAAUAUGAGACUGCGCUGAUGGAUGGAACUUUUGAAAGAUUACGAUUGUGAUAUUCUAUAUCACCCAGGAAAAGCAAAUAAGGCCGCUGACGCUUUAAGCCGAAAGUCUUCAAUUGCUGAUUUAUUGGUUAAGGAGUGGAAUCUAAUUGAGAGAGCUCGAGAUUCGGUUUUCAAAUUUAAGGUAAGCCACCUUUCUCAUCUUAUGGCCACCCUCAGAAUUGAGCCAGAUGUGUAGAUCAGGAUUAAGCUACUUCAGCCAACAGACCCGGAUGUUCAGAAAAUUUUGCAAGAGGAUAUCGAAGAAAGGAAGGCUAACUUUAAGGUUUCUGAUAAUGGAACACUAAAGUUCUGAGAACGAUUAGUUGUACUUGAUGAUUUGAAGCUUAGAGAUGAUAUUUUAUUAGAAGCUCAUUGUAGUAAUUACAGCUACCAAGAUGUAUCAAAAUAUGCGUCAACACUAUUGGUGGUCUAAUAUGAAGGCGGACAUCGCAAAACAUGUCGCCAAGUGUUUGAUGUGUUUGCAGGUCAAAGCUCAGCAUUGUAAGCUGGGAGGACUUCUGCAACCUCUCGAAAUUCCAAAGUGGAAGUGGGAGUAUAUCAUGAUGGACUUUGUAACCGGAUUACCAAGGAGUCAUAGAGGUAAUGAUUCUAUUUGGGUAGUAGUCGAUAGGUUGACAAAGUCGGCUUACUUUAUUGCAAUGUGAAAAGAUCUUGACUUGGAUAGGCACGCUGAGUUGUACGUGCGCCAUAUAGUUUGACUACAUGGAGUGACACUUACGAUAACUUCAGAUCGAGACCCGAGAUUCACCGCUGCUUUUUGGAAGAGCUUGCAAAGUACUUUAGGUACAAAACUUCAGUACAGUACGGCAUAUCAUCCUCAAACGGAUGGCCAGUCCGAGAGGACAAUUUGGACCCUCGAAGACAUGUUGCGAGCUUGUGUGCAAGAUUUUAAAGGAAGUUGGGAAGAGCAGCUUCAUCUCGUGGAAUUUGCCUACAACAACAGUUAUUAGUAGAGCAUCCAGAUGGCUCCUUUGAAGCAUUGUAUGGCAGAGUGUGCGGAACACCAGUGUGUUGGGAUGAAGUUGGGGAGAGAAAGAUCACAUGCCCAGAGUUGGUUCAAUAGUCAGUGGAUGCCGUCGCAAUAAUCAUGAGCAUAUUAAAGACUGCUCAGAGUCACCAGAAAAGCUACGCAGAUAAGCGUCGAAGGCUUUUGAAAUUCCAAGUUGGUGAUCACCUUUUUUUGAAGGUGUCACCAAUGAGGGGAACUUCGCGCUUUGGCAAGAAAAGAAAACUGAGCUCAAGGUAUGUAGGUCCAUUUGAGAUUCUUGAGAGAAUCGGGACCCUGGCGUAUCGUCUUGCGUUGCCACCGAGAUUGGGGCAAGUGCACGACGUCUUUCACGUGUCGAUAUUGAGGAAGUACGAGCUUGACUCGACGCAUGUGCUUAAUUUUGAGGAAUUAGACGUGGAUGACCGAGUGUAAUACGUUGAAAGAUCAAUUCAGAUCGUGGACAGAAAAGAGCAAGUUCUACGUUCAAAGACCAUCCCGAUGGUCAACACCACGGUACUGAAGGAGCAACCUGGGAGACUGAAAAGUCAAUGAGGCGUUUGUACCCUCAUCUUUUUGCUUAAGAUUUGUAAAUGUUUAAAUUUCGAGGACGGAAUUUUUAUAAGAGGGGAAGAGUUGUGAUAUUCUAGAAUUUCGAUUCUACUUUCAAUUGAAUAAAUUGGGCAUUUUAUCGACGUGCCUAUAGUGAUAUUUUCAGAGUUGAUCACUUGUGAGAUAACUAGACUAUAUAGGGAAGUCAUUAAAAGAUUUUAAGGCAAAUAGACUUGAGAGUUCGACCAAGCAUCGGCUACUCGACCGUGCUCAUCUGUAGAGAUCAUUGCGGCACAGUAAAAAAUUGCUUAGAGGUUAGAGAUAGGUCAGUUAAAAAUACCAAUUUGAUCAGGGACUUAACAAUGAAAUUUAUAGAGGCCAAAUUAGAUUGAAUUAAGAGGCAAUUGGCGUCCAAUUGUGGGGAAAACACAACACGUUCAAUAUGCUUUGACAUGUUCUGACACGUGGUUAACAGGUGUUGAAAAAUCUGACUUGUGAUCAACUCUCCCGACAUGUAAGUCCGGUGUUAUACUUUGACACGUUUUGAUAUGUGGUCAACAAAUAUCAAAAAAUCUGACAUGUGGUUAACUCUUCCAACACGGUUUGACAUGCGGGUCCAAAAUUCCGACACGAGAUUUCGACACGCACGGGUCGAUUUUAAAUAUUUUCAAUAGACGACAAGUCAAAAUGUAAAUAUGUACAAAAAUAAAUAGUAAUAAAAAUAAUAAAAGGGAGAAAGGAGAAAACCUAAUCUUCUCCUCUUUUGACUUUCACUUCCUAUAAUUCACAAUUUUUAGUGUAAAUUCAUUCUAGUCUUUAUUAUUAUUAUUAUUUAUUUAUUUGUGAAUUUGAAUCAAAUUAAUUUGAUUGAAAUAAUCAUAGAAAUGAUAAUUUAUCAUGUAUACAUAAAAAUAUAUAUUUAAUAUAUGAUGUAUCCUAAUGUGUUCGACUUUUUUCUUUUAGAAACGACGUGUCAGCAUGUCGGGUCGUGUCAUUUUGCGUGUUGCGUAUGGUGUUGGUGCUACUUAAGAUUGUAUCACAAGGUAAAUCAUUAAAAAAUCUAGAACUAAAUUGAUCAAAUCAAAAUUAUAAAAUUGAAUUGGUAUACAUGUGAAAGGUUUAACAACUUUCUACUAAUCAUUCCAUAUUUCAACACUCGCGUUGUUGCUUUUUUCUCCCAUAGAGGUUAUGAAUUACAAAUAUAGUAAUCUUUGGUUGGCCAAUUAAAGAGCGGUAAUCUUGUGUCAACCCUCCUAGGAAAAAGAAUUUAUUGAACCUCGAAACAAUAGCAUAGCAGCUAUGAAGCCAUAUUAUAUCAUGCUAUCAUAUAAAUGUGGAGUAGCUCAUUGCCCAUUUCAUACCAUUUUCUAAUCUUUUUCAUAUGAUAAAAGUCAACGUAAAAAGGUGGUUUCAACUAUUUCCUCAUCAAUUACGAUUACUUAACUUCAUAGCACUAUCAAAAUUAAAUUUUCUUGUUUUUUGCUAAGUUAAAAUCUAUCUUACUUCACAAUAAUUUAGUUCAUCACUAAAAUCAGACAAAAUCGUUAUCUUCUGUCUAUUUUCCCAGUUUCCAUGUACCAUUUUUCCAAUGAAGGAUUUAUCUCAACAAGAAAAAUCAUUUCAAUGAAAAGACGAUUACGCCCUUCCGGAAUCAUCCAAUGACUCUAUCCUGUCACGAAGACAAGAACCGCCACCUUUUAGCCCGCCACCUUUUAGCCCACCCCCUUUUAGCUCUCUCUCUCUCUCUCUCUCUCUCUCUCUCUCUCUCUAUAUAUAUAUAUAUACACACGCGCACACACAUGCACACAUACGCCGGGAAGAACGACGCCUCCACUGUGAAAGCACCCUCUGAGAUGGCCGAGAAGAGCAGAGUCCUGGUGAAGAGCAGAGUCCUGGUGAUCGGAGGCACCGGACGCAUCGGAAAGUUCAUCGUGGAAGCAAGUGCUAAGUUUGGUCACCCUACCUUCGCUCUCGUGAGGGAGUCCACUCUCUCCGACCCAGCCGAGGCCAACAUUGCUGAAGGUUUCAAGAGCUUAGUUCUUCUGAUGCAAUCCUGUUCGUUUCUCGCAUUUGGUGCUCCUUUGAUGAAUUGAAGCGUCCCCUACCGUUAAUCUCAUCCGUCGUUUCGAGAAAUGUCUUUAAUCGUAAAAUCAGAGUCGCCUUUUAUCUCAAUCUUUCACAAGAUCGAGUUGAUAUUUGCUGUUUCAUUUUCCCUCCUCUAGUAAUUUGUCCCUGUAUUAUUGGCCAUUUUUCACAUUGACUAACGAAUCACCUCAGCUUCGCAUUCUGAUACGAAGUACGAAUAGAAUACAUUUUAAAACAAAUCUUAUGAAAACUUCCAUAUUUUACGUACUGCCUAAAUGAACUUGUAUAUAAAAGUGAAUGUGACUGACCUGUAAUUCAGAUGUCACCGCAAAUCCCUUGCUAUAACCUUUCAAAAAAUUUGGUAGGCAAUGCAUGGACAACAAUUCUGUGGAUGCUUCAUUUCUUAUUAUACUUUUUUCUUGUCUGGUGAAGGUAUUCAAGUCUUAUCUGCAUCGGACUUCAUAUCUAUCCUUUUUCGUAGUCUUCGUACUGGCCAAGAUAGGAUUGAUUGAUGAUUGGUCGCUUCAUUGAUUGUUUGUCCAUGCUCUUGGUUAUUUGAUUCUCAGGGAGACAUAUACGAUCAAGAGAGUCUGUUGACUGCGAUUAAGCAGGUUGAUGUGGUAAUCUCUGCUGUGGGGCCAACACAGGUAGAGAUCCAAGAUAGGAUUGUUGCAGCCAUCAAAACAGCCGGGAAUAUCAAGGUCGUGCUGUUUAUAAUAAUUUCAUCCAAGUUACCAUUGCUCGUUUGACAUUUAACUGAUGAUAUAGGUUGGUGCAAGCUUAACUCUUUUUCUUCUGGUAUUAGUGUAUCGGGUUCUCCUUGUGAGCUCCACUUUGAUGAAAUGGGAUGGAUUCACUUACUUAUUUGUAGACUUCACUUCUUUCUUUAUUAAACGGUCAUGACUUUCUGUAGAAGUCGUCAGUGAAAUUUGAGGCUAACUAUUUCAAAUCCAAGUACCGGACAAUGCCGGAUUCACUGUGGUUGGGUUUCCUCUAGGUCAAUGAAAAAAGUAAAAGGUUUCAAGCACUCGAUAUGGAUUAUGGUCAUGUGCCCUAUUCUCUGAUCAAUAAUGGGAAACAUGAACUACCUAUUCCUUCAAAAGGUUUUUUUCGGUAAAAUUAAUAUUAUAGAAAAUAAGUUUUUAAAACCCAACUGGUGGAUAAUUUAGUAGUUGUUGCCUAGGGGGUUGACGGUCACUUCUUUAUUUUUUAAACGGUCAUGACUUUCUAUAGAAGUUGUUAUUGAAAUUUGAGGCUAACUAUUUCAAAUCCAAGUACCGGACAAUGUCGGAUUCACUAUGGUUGGGUUUCCUCUAGGUCAAAGAAAACAGUAAAAGGUUUCAAGCACUCGAUAUGGAUUAUGGUCAUGUGCCCCAUUCUUUGAUCAAUAAUGGGAAACAUGAACUACCUAUUCUUUCAAAAGUUUUUUUUUUUUCGGUAAAAUUAAUAUUAUAGCAAAUAACUUUUCAAAACCCAACUGGUGGAUAAUUUAGUAGUUGUUACCUAGGGGGUUGACGGUCGGUAAAGAGUGGAGCUUAGCAUGCUCACAUAAGGCAAUGUACUCACCUGAUAAUUUAUUUCUUGUGAAAAGUGUACAAGCAAGCAGCAUCUUUGCAUAUUUUAUACUUGCCAGAGUUAUCUGGCUAUUGGCCUAACAACUAAAUCUUCAGUUUUCUUUUCUUCUACUUUUAUAAUAUCACUUAAUUGCUAUUUUGACUCACUUAUAAUUAUUUUUACUAUAUUAUAGUCCGUUUAUGAAAAAAAAGGUUAAAUUCAGUCUUAUGUAAGUUUGUUUUCUUUGUUUGCUCUGUUAUAGUCACAUGUUAAAGAAAAAAGUGAAACAUAGUCUCAUAUGAGUUUGGUUUCCCUUUUUUGCCAGAACUCAUGUAAGUUUGUUGGAUGAGGGGAUUUUGCUCUAGUUUUUUGUUGCUUUCUAAUAAAAAUGUAUCUCCUGAUUCCAAUUAAUUUUUUUUUCUAGAGAUUCUUGCCUUCAGAGUUUGGAAAUGAUGCGGAUCGUGGCCAUGCUGUGGAGCCAGCAAAAACUGUAUAUGCUAUCAAGGGCAAGAUCCGCCGCCUUAUUGAGGCUGAGGGAAUCCCUUAUACAUAUGUGGUUUCUAACUAUUUUGCAGGUGACUAUCUUAGGACAUUGUCACAGCUCGGGGCUACAGCUCCCCCUAGAGAUAAAGUUGUCAUCUUAGGGGAUGGAAAUGUAAAAGGUGAGAAGCAAUUCAUCGAAAUGCACAUUUUAAAUAGUUAAGAUUUUUCUGUACAUUAAUCACGAUUUAAUUACGGUAGUGAUUAGUGCGAGGGGCAAUUCUUGAAGCUUGAGAAUUCCGAGGCAACGUCCUUGUCUGGAGAUAUUAGGACUCUUACAUCCAUUAGUCUUCACUUUAAGAGACUAGUAGAUGAUAUGAGUGUGUUGUGGUUUAUCAUGGCAUAAUACCACCUAGUGGGCAGAUCAUAAAGGUUCUCUUUAUGUAUUUGGUUGAGAAAAGAACAUAUGGAUGCAUCUGUUUGUCGAUUGUUCAAUGAAUCUGUUUAUUGAGAGAAUUAUUCUUCAAUUCGAGCCAAAAGUAACCCUAGGAAGAUCAAUGGCUCUGUGAUUUAUUUAUUAGCCAAAUUCUAAAACUCUCCAUGUCAAUAUGCAGCGGUAUUUAACAAGGAGGAUGACAUUGGCACCUAUACCAUUAAAGCCGUGGAUGAUCCAAGGACCUUGAACAAAAUUCUGUACAUCAAACCUCCUGCCAACAUCUACUCUUUUAAUGAGCUCGUGUCACUGUGGGAGAGAAAGAUCGGCAAGACCCUGGAGAGGGUGUAUGUUCCAGAUGAGGAUAUUUUGAAGAAUAUUCAAGGUUAGGGCUGCAUUUCUAUUGGAUUUAAGUGCAUGAAUCGUCUCUGUUCUCUCUAAGAUUUAAUGCUUUUCCGGUUAUUACAGAGGCGGCGGCUCCGCUCAAUCAUGCAUUGGCAGUAUUCCAUGCUGUUUUCGUGAAAGGAGACCAAACCAACUUCGAGAUUGAGCCAUCAUUCGGAGUGGAAGCUUCAGAGCUCUACCCUGAUGUCAAGUACAUGACUGUGGAUCAGUAUCUGGAUCAAUUUGUUUGAUUAUCGAACCCAACCGUGCUUGUUAAAUUUCUCACAUCGGCUUGAAUCAUAAAUAAAAUAGGAUGCUACUUCUCAGGAUCCUAGUGUGAAAUGUUGCUUCUGCUGAUCAUCACAUGGCAUGUACAACCCCAAAGUUUGAGGACAUCCUAUGAAGUGCUCGGAGAAAUUACUUAUGUUUUGGAGAUUGAUAUUGGAUUCAUGGGCCAACCCGAGCUAACACAAAGACAUGGGUUUUUCUAUUUUUGUAUAUCGUAUUGUCUUUCAUGUCUAAAUGAUUCACGGAUGACCACUAUCGUGAAGUCAGAUACUUAACGUGUUAGCAAGGAUGAAUUUCCGUCGUGAGUUGAUUAUGGAUAAUUUUAAAGAAUGACAAGUUAAAACAAACGUAAACUGAUUAAUGAAGUCCUCACAAACGAGUUAUCGUUAAUGUUUUUGGGGGCUUUUAUAGGCUGCAGGGAACAAACACGAACAAAAAGAGGCAUGUGCUAUAAAUCUGGACAACUCUCGAACCAAUUUCUUAUCCCAAAAGUCCGGCAUUUUGUGGAUUGUUGUCUACUUAGGGAUGUCUUUGGUUCAGUUUUUCCAAACCCACCAUAAAUCAGGAAUAAUUAAUGAAGAAAUAUAAAAUAGCUUAUUUUGUCAGGAAGUAACAAUCAAUUACUGUAAAAAGAUUUCGUUCUUGAAUUCCGUGGAGAACAUGCAGCCAUCACAAGUCAGGGCUGUCGAUUUCUUUUCUACCUUGAUGGAUGUUUGAUCGACAUAACAAUCAAUUUUCUAGGUCAAAUUCAGACAACAUUCGGUAAGUCAAGUGAUUGCCAACUUCAUUGAUCGUUUGUGCAUACUCUUGGUUAUUUGAUUUUCAGGGAGACAUAUACGAUCAAGAGAUUCUACUGAAUACAAUCAAGCAGGUCGAUAUGACAAUCUCUGCUAUGGGGCGAGUGCAAGUAAAGGACCAAGACAGGAUUGUUGCUGCCAUUAAAGUGGCUGGGAAUAUCAAGGUCGUGUUGUGCCUAGUAAUUUCAAUUUCAAGUUACUAUUGUUCGUUCAGCAUUUGACUGAUGAUAUAGGUUGGUGUUACCUUGAUUCUUGUCUCGCUGGUUUAGGUGCAUCACGAUCUCAUAUUGAGCUCCGCUUUGAUGAAAUGAGAUGGAUGGACGGUAUCUAUCUGUAGACUUCACUUCUUUCUUUUUGAAAUGGUCACGACUGUGUAAAGAGUUUUGAGUGCUCAAUUUCGAUUUUGGACGAUUUGCCCAGCUCUUUGAUCAUGAAUUCGUUGGAAACAUAAACUAGUUAGUCCUUUAAAUGUUCUUUUUCAGUAGUAUCACCAUUGUUGGAAUAUGUUACCUAAUCUCACUUGCCGGGAUAGUGAUGUACUUAAUGAGUAUGUCCAUGAUGGGGUGCGAUUGGAACGCAUUGUUUCGUCUUGAUAUGCUACGAUGGAAAGACACCAUUUGAAAGGGUACGAAGGGAGUUGUAUAAAAGUCUUCUGAAGAUAAGCGUUGGAAUGGUUGGCAGAACGUACGCUCAGAAAUUCUCCAUUUCUUGUCCCCUUUCCAUCAAAGAAAAAGGAAGGCGUUCCAUUUCUCCUUUACAAGAACAAUUGGCAUUUACACUGUGGAAAUUAGAUGUUUUCCUUGUGAUUACAUUCAGACCAACAUGACAUAAUAUUAUUCAUGAUUCAUCCGUAAUUCAAUGAUCGUUCCAGGGUAAAUUGUUGAUUGCACAUCGGAAACAGGUAAGUCGUCUUCCGCCCGACUUUCAUACAACGUUGGUGUUAGAGCCUGGUUGUGAUUUUUGCCUCGUUUUUCAUCGAAUUUUCUCAUUUAUCAUUUGAUAUCGAUAUCAAGAGUAUGAAAUAUACACUGUUUGGAUGUUUAUUGCUCAGAAUUGCUAUCUGAAUCGUCGAAAACGAACCGAAGCGAAGAACGGGUUCGAGGUUGCAUACAUCUGUACAGUAUUAGCCAUUUUUUGAAAUAUUUUUUUGGCCAAAAUAAAUUUUCAACUAUACAGGAUAAAAGUACUCGUUGAGACGAGUCUAACGAUGGGUAGAGUGCCAUCGGAGGACGCCGGACGCGCCCACUCACAUGGCCAGAAGCCACUGUGGCUAGGUGCCACACGCCUGACCCAUUGGGCACGCCAACGUGUGACUGUCACGCACGCAUCAAUGAAACAACGCGUGCUAACGUCACUGUGACAUCAUCGAGACGUCAUCCAAUGGUCAGUAACUGCCGAAUGACGUCAGUGGUGAUGUCACCGUUGGCAUAGUUCGUCGGCUGAUGGCCGGUGGAAGACCCAACCCGAGACUCAACCCUUCCAGGACCCGACCGGUGAUCUGACCUGACCUGACUCAUUCAUUGACUGGUCAACGGUCGGACCGGCCAGGAGCCUUUUAGGCUCAUUGGCGCGUGCGCCACACGCGCCGCACACUCAGGCAACACGUGUGGACGCGUGUGAUGUCGGAUGGAGCGUGGUCGGCGGCGUUUGGUUUGUAUGGUUGUUCUCUAUACUAUGGUAAAUUUAUUUUAUAUUUUUGAGUUUUUUAAAUGUAUAAAAAAUAUGUAGGGAACCCUGAGUACGCGUAUGUUUGGGGUUUAAAUAUGUUAUUUAUUCUUUUUGUAGCUUGUAUUUCUUAUGGUUUUGGAAAUACAGUAGCUUGCCUACAUAAAAAUGAUAUAAUAUAUGCCGUGUAGGGCUUGGUUUGAUGGUAGUAUGUAUACAAUUUAAUAUACUUGCAAUUUUCUAGUUCCAAGAAAAUUCGAACAAUGGUAGAAAAUCCUUGUUUUUCCGUUUCAUGUUGAAUUGUGUUUUUAAUUGAAGUUGUAACAUGAUUUAUUUUUGUUCGUUGGUUCAAAUCUUGCUAUGCUUUUGUGUUAAUGGAAAAAUAUAAAAAUUACAUGAGGUCAUGUAAUUAUUUUUUCUAGUGGGAGUUCGUAGGUUGGUAGAAUUUGAAGGAGUUCUCACCUAGAACUUAAAAUUUGAGCAAAUUAAACUAAUUAAUGAUAAUAGAACAAUCGUACAUAGGAGCUGAUUGAGAACAUAAUGAACUUUUGUUUUUGUUUCUUUUGUUGAAUUAUCAUUGAUUUAGUUUGUCUUUGCUGCAAAUUAAAUAUGUGUGUUACUCUGAAAAGUGUGCUAGUAUUGAUUCUACAUUUAUUAUGUUAAUGUGUUAUAGCAAUUGAUUAUGGUUUCGGCAUCCAAGACCAUUAUAGCUGACCUCAAUAAGGGUGAGAAGUUGAAUGGUGACAAUUAUGAUAUUUGGCACCGAAAGGUUCAGUACAUCUUUGAGAAGCAAGAGGUUUUGGAAAUCCUCAACCACAUCAUGGAUGAACCUGAGUAUGGAACUUCAGCUCAACACAUGAGAGAUUUAAAAACUUAUCAAACUUGGUAAAAGAAAAAUAGCAUUGCUCGCAUCAUGUUGUUGAUCUGUAUGCAAAAUGAUCUCAUGUGUGAGUUUGAAAGUUAUGAUAAAGUUCGAGCAAUGUGGGUUGCCUUGAAAGAUAAGUUUGGGGAUACAUUUGCCACUAAGUUGAGGAGACUCACCAUUAAGUUUGACACAUAUCGAAAGCACCAAAAUAUAACGAUGAGGCAACACCUUCGGAAGAUGUCAAACAUCAUUCGUGAGUUGAAGUCGGCAGGUCACUCCCUUAUUGAUGAACAUCGAGUUCAGGUUGUUAUAAGGUCUCUUCCUAAUAAUUUGUAGCAUAUGAAAAUCAAUAUGACGCAUAAUGAGAAUAUUGUCACUUAUGAUGAUAUUGCAUGUCAUUUGGAAUUAGAGGAUGAGUGCCUAGAGGCUGCGAGAUCUUCUACCCAUGCUUAUGUUGCUGAAUUGAGUUCGUGCAAGGCUUCAGGUUUAAAAUGCAAAAGGAAUCAUCAAUUCAACAAUAAAGGGAAGAGUACUGAUUAGACACCUAAAAGGGCUAAGACUUUCCAACGCAAGAAACGUGGUGGGAAGAAGGACAAAGCCAAGAUGGUGUGCUACAAUUGUGGCAAAAUGGGUCACUUUGCUCGUGAAUGCACUGAGCCGAAAGAGGUACCCUAUUACUCCAUUACUUUAAGUAAUGUUUUUAUUUCUAGCACUAGAAUACUUGCUGAAUCUCAUCUAAUGUGGAAUGUAGACUAGGAGCAACAGAUCAUGUAGCUAGAGAUCGAGAAGCAUUUGUGGAGUAUUGUCGGAUACAGCUUGGAAGAAGAUAGAUAUAUGUUGAGAAUAACUCAAAAAUUGAAGUGAAGGGUAUCGACACAUAUAAAUUAAUUUUACGUGGUGAUUGAAGCCUAUUCCUACAUGAUGUCCUCUAUGCUCCGGAUAUUCGAUGAAACUUGGUCUCCGUAGUUGUUCUUCUCAGCCUAGGUUAUGUAUUAAACUUCUAUGGUGAUUGUGUUGACAUUUUGUUUGGAAUAGUUUAUUAUGGUUCAGGUCAUGUAUUGAAUGAUUUUAUGGUGUUAGACAUUGACUAUGAUCAAUACAAUGUUAAUAUCGAUGGUUGUUUUUCUUUAAUUGCAUCUUCUAGUAAUAUUGAGAUUGAUGCAAGUACACUCACUAAGGUUAAUUUACCCGUAUGUAAACAUUGUCUAGUAGGAAAAAUAACUAGAAAACCAUUUGGUAAAUGGGCUAGAGCCGAAUUUCCAUUACAACUCAUACAUUAUGACAUUUGUGGCCCUUUGAAUGUGAAAGCGAGGUAUGGAGCCUCAUAUUUCAUCACUUUCAUAGAUGACUUCACGAAUUUCGGUUAUAUUUUUCUGAUUUCCCUUAAGUUAGAAGCAUUAGAUUGCUUUAGUCGAUAUAUAACGAUGGUAGAGAAUUAGUUGAACAAAACAAUAAAGUAUUGAGAACCGAUCAUGGACGUAAGUAUCUAUCUAAGCAAUUCAAUACUCUUUGUGAUAAAAAGGGAAUUAUAUGACAAUUGACUAUUCCUGAUACUCUAUAACAAAAUGGGGUAACGGAGAGAAGGAAUAGAAUGCUAUUGGAAAUGGUUAGGUCUAUGAUGACUCAAGCAAAUUUACCUAUCUCCUAUUGGGGAGAUACAUUAUUGACUGCUACCUAUGUACUUAACCAAGUGCCCUUAAAAUCGGUCACUUCCACCCCUUAUAAAUUGUGGACUGGUAGGAAACCAAAUUUAAGUAUUCUAUGUCCAUGGGGAUGUACAGCUUAUGUUCAUGAUUCUUCCCAUAAAUAUGGUAAAUUAGGUCAUAGAGGGAAGAAAUGUAUCUUUAUGAGAUAUUCUGAACACUCCAAAUGGUACGUGUUCAUAGGUUAACAAGCUGAUGGAAGUGUGACCGAAAUGGAGUCACGGGAUAUCACGUUUUUGGAGAACGAUUUUCUUAGUAGAGGUGAGAUUGAUAAGGAUUUUCAAUUACAUGAGAUGGAAAACCCUAAUAACACACCCACUAAUGUUGUAGAGGGAAAUAAAGAUUUACCUUAACAUACAAGACCUAGUGGGAGUGUUGCAUCGCCUGACGAAUUGAAUUCAAGAGAAAUUCAGUUGCGUAAAAGUAAUCGUAAAAGUAUUCAUCGUCGUCGUUUUGAGAUUAAAGGGGAAGCUUUUAUGAUUACUUAGAAAGACGAUGCCGAGCCAAAGACUGUUCAAGAGGCUCUCUCAUCCUUUGAUAAGGAAGAAUGGAGAACAAUUUUAGAAGAUGAGAUGGAAUCUAUGAAGGCAAAUCAUGUCUGGGACUUGGUUGAUCUACCUCCUCAUCGCAAGGCCAUUGGAAACAACUGGGUCUUUAAAAUUAAGCGAAAGACGAAUGGAUCCAUUGAAAAGUAUAAGGCUCAUCUUGUGGUGAAAGAUUAUACUCAACAAGAGGGUAUAGACUAUGAGGAAACCUUUUAACCAGUUGUAAGGUUUGCCUCAAUACGCCUUAUCCUAGCCAUCGUUGCACAUUUGGACCUUGAAUUAUAUUAAGUGAAUGUAAAGACGCAUUUCUCAAUGGAGAACUAGAUGAAGAAAUCUAUAUGAAAUAAUCAAUAGGUUUCAUAGCUAAAGAUCAUGAGCAUAAAAUUUGCAAGUUUCAUCACUCAAUAUAUGGCUUUAAGCAAUCAUCUAGACAAAUGUAUCUUUGUUUUCAUCGAGUCAUAAUAACUUUUUGGUUUCACGAUGAUCGAAGAAGAUCACUGUGUAUAUGUCAAGCGGUCCGAAGAUAAAUUUGUGAUUUUAUCACUUUAUGUGGACGAUAUUCUAUUGGCCGGAAAUGACAAGGUUUUGGUUAUCAUCAUAAAAAAAUGAUUGUCCUCCAAUUUUGCAAUUAAAGGACAUGGGAGAAGCUACUUAUAUAUUAUGAGUUAAGAUCGAAAGAGAUCAAUCAAGGAAACUCAUUACUUUAUCACAAGAGUCUUAUAUAAUGAAAAUUCUUGAGUGUUUCAAUAUGCAGCAUUGUAAUCCCAUUGAUACUCUUGUCAUGCAAGGUGAAGACUUAAGUACUGAAAUGUGUCUUAAGACUCCAUAAGAAAUUAAAGUGAUGGAAAUUGUUUCUUACGCUAGUGCGAUCAGAAGUUUGAUGUAUGCUAUGAUAUGUAUUCGACCCGACAUAUAUUAUGCCGUGGGAUUAGUCAACCGAUAUCAAUCAAAUCCCAGUCAAGCACAUUAGAAAGCAGUGGAGAGGAUCCUGAGAUACUUGAAGUGCACCAUGGACUAUCGACUUUGUUACCAAGGGAAUGAUUUACGCCUAUUAGGCUACUCAGAUGUUGAUUGGGGUGGAGACCUAGAUGACCGUAAAUCGACUUCUGGAUAUGCGUUAUUGCUUAAUGGAGGUGCAAUUUCUUUGAAUAGCAAGAAACAGACAUGCACGACAUUGUCUACGAUGGAGACAGAAUUUAUUGCAUGUUCUGUUGCAGUGCAAGAAGUAGUAUGGCUAAAACGUUUCUUGGAAAAUUUAGCCAUUGUCACUGAGGUUCCAAGACUGAUGAUAGUUCAUUGUGAUAGUCAAACAACCAUUGCCUAUGUGAAGGAUCCCAAGUGUCAUGGAAGGACGAAACACAUUGACAUAAAGAACAACUUCAUAAGAGAUAUAAUAGCGUAGAAAGAAGUGAUCCUACAAUACAUUUCAACCAAUAGAAUGGUUGCUGAUCCAUUUACGAAAGCUAUUCCUAAAGACAUAUUCUUGACCCACAAGAUGUCACUAGAAUUGUGUAGAAUGUGAUAUGUGUUAUUGUAGAGGAUAAUUGGUUUAUGUAUUUGUGGACAUAUAUAUUGUACUUGUUUGUUUAUUAGUGACUUAAUGUUUUAUCAAUAAGUACAAAUCCAUUAUGAGACUAGCACAUACACCCAUAUAUUAUUGAAAAGUAUGUUAGUAGGCAAUGAUUGGUUCACUCACACGAGCAAUCACCUCAAGUGUUAUAGUUAGCACGUUGAGAUGAGACGUUAUGUACAAAUGAAUGCGGAAAAGCAAGUUUAGUACAUAAAAGAAUAUGUCGUCUUGAAUGGAGUCAAGAUGAGAUCUGUGAUUCUUUUAUAAUAAGACCGAACAUGAUAGUCCCACAAUUAUGUAUGUUUGAAAGAUGCCGAAUGCGAGUACUUAAUUGGGCGCUAUAGAAAGCGAGCUGAUGUAGCACUCAAGCUAAACAUGAGUACGUGAGAAGCACGUGACUAUAUUUAGGCUAAGAUUUGUAUAGUGGAUAUAUUUAAUAAAUGACAUACACUCUUAAAGAAAGAGAAAUCCACUAUAACAUGUAAUUCAUACUACACGUGCAUUGUUCGAUCGACAAGGGAAGGUGAGUAAAAUUAUCCCUAUUUACUCAUUGUGUGAGCCCUUGAGGUAAUUUAUAAUUUACCUCAUUUUGUGCCCUAUGUUAUUUCUGACUAUGUUCUCAAAGUGAAAGAUCAAUAUUGCUACUUUAACAUGUUAUCGGCGGUCAUGAAUAGAUAUAGCCUUAUGGGACGUGUCUAAGAAAGUAGUUGUUCUGAAAUGGAGAGAAACAUGAGUGCGAAGGAAGACUAUUAUUGUUUUACAUCUAUCACAUGUAUUUACUGGUCGACCAAUUAUAUUGCGUUAUGUGGUUGUGGAUAUAAUUAUAAAUAUAUGGUGUUGUGAGAAUAGUCAAGUAUAAUAUACUUGGAUUGAUGUAACAAAAUAAGUUUGAGGCACUGUGAGGAUAUCGAUUAUUUAUUUCUUUACAAGGUUGUAGCCAUUAUGUCAUCCCUAACAGGUGCAUAAUUUGAGCUCCCAAGUGCAGGUGUGCUUACUGGUUGCACAGCUUACUUGCCAGUAUGAAUUGUUUUGUAAAGUUAAUGAAUGUUGAAUGCCUUAUAUUCUUGAUAAAACAUUAUCAAGCUCAUCAUGUCUGAGUGGGAGAUGAUGUACUUAAUGAGUACGUCCAUGGUGGGGUGUGAUUGGAAUGCACUGUUUCGUCUUGAUAUCUUACGAUGGAAAGACACCUUUUGAAAGUGUAUGAAGGAAGUUGUAUAAAAGUUUUCUGAAGAUAACCAUUGGCACGGUUGGCAGAACGUACGCUCAGAAAUUCUCCAUUUCUUGUCCUCUUUCCAUCAAAGAAAAAGGAAGGCGUUCCAUUCCUCCUUUACAAGAACAAUUUGCAUUUAUGUUGUGAAAAUUGGACGUUUUCCUUGUGAUUACAUUCAGACGAAUGUGAGGUAGUAUUAUUCGUGAUUCAUCCGCAAUUCAACGAUCGUUCCGUGGUGAAUUGUUGAUUGCGCAUCAGAAAUGGGUAAGUCGUCUUCCACGACUUUUUUCCAACAUAUAGUAUUUAGUCAUUGUCGUUGAUUUGGGUGGUUGACGGUCGAUAGUGAAUGGAACAAAGCAUGCUCACAAAAGGCAUUGGACUUACUUGAUAUCUUAUGAAAGUGUCCAAGCAAGCAGAAUAUCACGCCCUAAACCUCGAGCAUGUGCCCAUCCCUUGGUGGUUGAUAAAAUUUGCGACGUCCCAGGAUGCGUCGCCGAUCCAUUCAUUUUAAUGCACAUGUAGAAGCGAAACAAUACCCCUGACAACAACUAACACGAGAUAGAAAAACAGGAAAUAUAUUCACAACUAAAAUAGUUUUAUAAAUACUCCAGUUUAUAUACAACACUAGUCUAUAGACAAAAGUCUACAAAAGAUCGGCUCUCAAAAGAAGCUAUCCUAAGACCUACUAGUCGGACACAUUCACCGAUCCUUCGGUCUCCAUAGGCUCUGGGGGCUUUAGGUCCUCCACAGCACCAUCAGGAGGGUCAGCUUGUCACGCCCUAAACCUCGAGUGCGCACACAUCCCUCGGUGGUCGAUAAAAUAUGCGACGUUUCCAAGACACGUUGCCAACCCAAUCGAUUAUGCACAUGCAGAAUCAAAUUAACUAAUCCCCUGACAACAACAUACAUGAGAUAGAAUUGCAGGACAACCAAAUAAACAAUCUAGUUUACACACAGAGGCCAACUCUAAGGUCUAAGUACAGGAGGUCUAUCUCCAAAUAGAACUACUGAGCCACCCAUGCUUCUGACCCUUCCGUCUCAAGCUCCGAGUUCUUCACACUAGAGACUUGAAAAUGGUAACCCACGACGAAGUGAGAUAUAAAUCUCAACGAAUUCACUCCUUAAACCCCGAUUAGGAAGAUAAUACACUUAGAGGUAGCUUACACAUACACCCAAUGAGACUUACCCCGCUUCAGUUCCAUCCUGCACAUUAGUACAGUUCUUAAAACAUAUGCACAUACUCAAUGCACUCAUCGAUUGGAACAUCUCAUUAUCAAACAAUCACACACAUGAGUCCCGAUUAUAAAGCGAAAUCGUAAUGACAUAUCCCAUUCCGUGUCACACAAUUUCAUCCCAUAAUCAGGCGCGGGUAACUCAUAUAAGUUGUUCAAUCCACACCCGAUAUUCACUCUCAAUAUUCCAAUUCCCAAUUCAAACUCAAUACUCACUACCAAGCUCAAGGUUCUAAAGGUGUCUCUUCCCCACGAAGUUCCAGCAUCGUGUGGUGCUUAGUCCUUGACCACAAUCAACAAUAGCUCGAGGUACUAGAGGUGGCUCCCACGAAGUCACACCGUCGUGUAGUACUUAGUUUUCGACUAUCAUAAGCAAUAGCUCAAGGUACUAGAGGUGGCUCCCACAAAGUCACGUUGUCGUGUAGCACUCAAUUCUUGGCCACAAAAAGCACUGGUAUAAGGUUCUAGAAGUAACUCACAUGAAGUCUCGCUAUCGUGUAGCACUUAGUUCUUGACUAUGUAUGAUAGAAAUACAAGGCUUCUAGAGGUGGCUCCCAUGUGACUCAAGUCACCCUGUAGCACUUAGACUUUAACUACAUUAAGCAACGAUACAAGGUACUAGAGGUGGCUCACACGAGGAUUCAUUAUUGUGUAGCACUUAGUUCUUUACCGGCUCAUAACCCAUUGGAUUUCCUCAACACAACAUAUAUCACCUCAUCUUUCAAUAGUCAUCUUGCCCUGAUUAUAAACGAACACACGAUCAAUCAACCACGACCAAGGCCAUUGUGCUUAGCACUUGAAUGCCUUAAUUAAGGUAACGAACUUGGUCUAUUUUCUUCAUACUAAAAACACUCAGUAAAAUAAUCAUGUGUGGGUACACGGUUAGCUCGAACAAGAAAAUUGAUAUCCUUCUUUUUAAAAAAUUCCACUAUUUUAUAUAGUACUUAAAAACAUUUUUGGCAUAAAAAACUGACACCUGUUUUUUUCUAAUUAACUACCAAAAUUUCACAAUUUUGGAAUAAAUAACCAAAAUUCCAAUCAUAACUCAAUUUGCACAAAUUAACAUUCAAUUGUAUAAACUAAGCACAUUACUACAAUCAGCAUGAAAUUCUAGUCACUAGCUAUCCCUGUAUAAUUUUUGGAAAAUAUUAAAUAAUUAAAUAAAUACAACAAAUAAUUAAAUAAAUACCAAUAAAUCCAAUAAAUGCAAACUUAGGCCGAAAAUGCUAAUCUAACCACCUAAACAGGCCUAAAAUUUUUUCGAACCUAUCUAGAUAAAUAGCACAACUUAUCUAGUGAUGUGGACAUCGAACCAUAUCGAGGAGGAGGUGCUAGGAUCCCAUUAUCUAUUCCUACUGGUUUGAUUACUCAAGCACGGGCCAAGCAAUUUAAGCAAGUUGUUGGUGUCAUGGUUCGUGAUAUUUGGCGUGGAGAUAACCUUGAAUCAAAUCUUGAAAAAUCUUGGAAAUCUUGGCGCAAUUUGAUUAUUUGGUCACCAAAUAUUUGACCAAGUCAAAUAUAUAUAUAUAUACAUAUCUCUCUCUCUCUCUCUCUCUCUCUCUCUCUUUGUUUAGGAAUAUUCUAGAAUAUUAUGCAUUAUAUCUCUAGGGUUGGUUUUAGGGUUUGUGUGGCGGCUAAAAGGCCUAUAUAUAAGAAUGACUGAAUUUCCUUGGGGGACAAACAUAUUUUUAUUUUUGAGGAAAAAGUUGAGAGAUUUUCUUCUACUAUUCUUUUGAGGACUUGACUUUAUCAAAGUUCCCUUGUGACGGUCGAUUCAACUUAUCGAGCGAGAUAGUGAAUUCUUUUGCUCGUGGCGUCUAUAACAUUGGUUGGUUGACACGCGUUCGUCAAUAGGUCACGUUCAUACCGAUAUUGCCAAUCACAAGUUUGAUUGGAGGUUGAGGUUCGCAAUUUGCAACAUCAGGGCCUUUGUAGAACGAUCUUUCUGCAACGAUUCACAUCAAUUUGAGAUUUAUUGAGCUAGGGUUUUGGUUCUAGCCAAUUUAGGGAUCCGAUUGCUUUUGUGCUUCCAUACGAAGUUGUUUGCUGUUAGUUUUAAUUUUUUUUCUAGCAUCUUAAAAUGUAUCUGAGUUCGUCAAAAAAAGAAGAAAAAAGAGAGUAAGUUUGUCAAAAAAAGAAGAAGAGAAAGAAAACGCACACAAAAAAAGGUGCGCAAGAGAAAAAAAAAAUAGAUUCGGCAGAAAAAAUAGCCGAACAAAAAAAAAUCAAGAAGGCGACUCAUUUGUUAGUGGACCGAAUUGAAACAAAAUCAGUAGUGAUUUGCAUUUCAAUUGGAAUUUCAAAAGUUGUACUUGUUGGUUUGAAAUUGUUACUUGCUGAAAUAAAAUCAGUUGUGAUCUAAUCUUGUUUGAUUAGUUUGAUUGAUUUUCGUGAAGGGGUUGAGAGACAGGUUUUGAGACCGAUAAAGAGCUUGUGAAAAGAGAAUACGAGAGGAAAAAGGCAAGAGUGUGUAAGCUUAAUUGAGGGUGGAAAAAGACUAGACUUGAGUUAAACACGAGGGGAAUGCCAAAUACCUUGAGAGAAACACGUGAGGGAGCGAUUGGUGAGAAUUUUUGUGACUAACGUUUAUUUACAGGUUUAAAAUAUGUCACACGAAGAAAGCGUAAAUCAGAGGGAGGUUGACUCCAUAGGAAGGGAUGAAGCGCUCGUGAAAAGCAUCUAGCAAUUGAGGGCCGUAGUGGAGAAGCUUAGUGGCCGAAUGAUGGGGAAUGGUAUGAGGGUUGAUGGUGACUGAGAGCUACCCCGGGGAAGGUUGCAACAUCAGCGAGACGCCUCUAGAACACAACUUAGAAGGUAGCGGCAUUAUGAUGAUGAUGAGGUCAACAUGGAGGAUGAUCGAGAUGCUCGAUUUGGAAGGUGGAAUGGAGCUCGAGGGUUUAGAUAUCAAGAUGAAGAUUCCUUCUUUCCAAGGGAAGAAUGAUCCUGAUGCGUAUCUAGAAUGGGAGAAACGCAUGGAGAUGGUAUUUGAUUGCCAACGAUAUUCCGAGCUCAAAAAUGUAAAAAUUGCAACUGUUGGAUUUAUUGAUUAUGCUAUAAUUUGGUGGGAUCAACUUGUGACUAGUAGGAGGCGAACGAUGAAAGACCGAUAUAGACGUGGGAUGAGAUGAAAGUGGUGAUAAGAAAGCGUUUUGUACCAAGUCAUUACCACCGAGAUUUGUUUCAAAAGUUACAAAAUCUCACACAAGGCAAUAAGAGCGUGGAAGAGUAUCACAAGGAGAUGGAGAUUGACAUGAUCCGUGCUAAUGUGGUGGAGGAUUGUGAGGCCACAAUGUCAAGANNNNNNNNNNNNNNNNNNNNNNNNNNNNNNNNNNNNNNNNNNNNNNNNNNNNNNNNNNNNNNNNNNNNNNNNNNNNNNNNNNNNNNNNNNNNNNNNNNNNNNNNNNNNNNNNNNNNNNNNNNNNNNNNNNNNNNNNNNNNNNNNNNNNNNNNNNNNNNNNNNNNNNNNNNNNNNNNNNNNNNNNNNNNNNNNNNNNNNNNNNNNNNNNNNNNNNNNNNNNNNNNNNNNNNNNNNNNNNNNNNNNNNNNNNNNNNNNNNNNNNNNNNNNNNNNNNNNNNNNNNNNNNNNNNNNNNNNNNNNNNNNNNNNNNNNNNNNNNNNNNNNNNNNNNNNNNNNNNNNNNNNNNNNNNNNNNNNNNCAACAUAGGCACACCUAACAUGGUGUUAUUGAGUCCGAAAGUGAAAGGGAAGAAGAGGAUGAUGAGAUGCCACCAUUGGAGGAUUGUAGGGAUGGAGAAGUGGCUAUAAAAAGAGACUUAUUGGUGGUUAGGUGUUCUCUGAGUGUGCAAGUAAAGGAGGAGGAGCAUCACCAACAAGAGAUAACUUAUUUCAUACAAAAUGUGUGGUGAAUGGUAAGAUCUGUAGUAUGAUAAUUGAUGGAGGUAGUUGUGCGAAUGUGGCAAGUUCUACUAUGGUGGAUAAAUUGGGUUUGAAAACGACAAAGCACCCUAGGCCUUAUAGACUUCAAUAGUUAAAUGAUAGUGGUGAGGUGAAAGUAUCGAAACAAGUUCGAAUUUCAUUUGAGAUAGGGAGAUACAAGGACGAGGUAGAGUGUGAUGUUAUACCUAUGCAAACGGGUCAUAUCUUAUUUGGAAGACUAUGGCAAUAUGAUUGAAAUGUACAUCAUGAUGGGUAUACUAAUCGUUAUUCAUUGGUGAUGAAUUAAAAGACUUAUACCUUGAUACCAAUGACACCUAGUGAGGUGUAUCAAGAUCAGUUAAAGUUACAACGAGAAGCUGAUAGAGAGAGAAAAGGUGAGAAAUCCAAUGGCUUGCAUGGUGUGUUUGAGAUGCAAGGAAAAGGAGAGGCCGAGAGAAAGAUUGUGGUAAAAACCGAGGGAAAAGAAGAGAGGAAAGAAAAGAGGCAAAACAAUUUUUAUGCAAAAUCAAGUGAAGUGAGGAGAGCUUGAGUUCUAGAUCGACCAAUGCUUGUACUUGUGUACGAGGAGGUUUUAUUUUCUACUAACGAUCUUUACUUAAGUUUGCCUAGUCCUAUUGUGUCUUUAUUGUAGAAAUUUGAAGAUGUCUUUCCUGAUGAACUUCCUGGAGGGAUACCACCGAUUCGAGGCAUAGAAUAUCAAAUUGACUUGAUUCCCGGUGCGCCAUUACCUAACCAACCCGCAUAUCGAAGCAAUCCCGAGGAGACAAAGGAACUUCAGUGGCAAGUUAGCGAACNNNNNNNNNNNNNNNNNNNNNNNNNNNNNNNNNNNNNNNNNNNNNNNNNNNNNNNNNNNNNNNNNNNNNNNNNNNNNNNNNNNNNNNNNNNNNNNNNNNNNNNNNNNNNNNNNNNNNNNNNNNNNNNNNNNNNNNNNNNNNNNNNNNNNNNNNNNNNNNNNNNNNNNNNNNNNNNNNNNNNNNNNNNNNNNNNNNNNNNNNNNNNNNNNNNNNNNNNNNNNNNNNNNNNNNNNNNNNNNNNNNNNNNNNNNNNNNNNNNNNNNNNNNNNNNNNNNNNNNNNNNNNNNNNNNNNNNNNNNNNNNNNNNNNNNNNNNNNNNNNNNNNNNNNNNNNNNNNNNNNNNNNNNNNNNNNNNNNNNNNNNNNNNNNNNNNNNNNNNNNNNNNNNNNNNNNNNNNNNNNNNNNNNNNNNNNNNNNNNNNNNNNNNNNNNNNNNNNNNNNNNNNNNNNNNNNNNNNNNNNNNNNNNNNNNNNNNNNNNNNNNNNNNNNNNNNNNNNNNNNNNNNNNNNNNNNNNNNNNNNNNNNNNNNNNNNNNNNNNNNNNNNNNNNNNNNNNNNNNNNNNNNNNNNNNNNNNNNNNNNNNNNNNNNNNNNNNNNNNNNNNNNNNNNNNNNNNNNNNNNNNNNNNNNNNNNNNNNNNNNNNNNNNNNNNNNNGACGAUUUGUGAGAAAUUUCAGCACCAUUGCCGCACUUUAACUAAGGUUAUCAAGAAGCACGUGGGUUUCGCGUGGGGAGAAGAGCAAGAGCCAAGAGAAAAACAUUAAAUCUGUACAUUUAAUCUGCUAAAAGAUAAGUUGACUAAUGCUCAUUUGUUAUCUUUGCCGAAUUUCAAUGCUACUUUUGAAAUAGAGUGUGAUGCUUUUGAUAUAGGAAUGGAGCCGUGUUGAUGCAAGGAGGGCGUCCCAUAGCUUAUUUCAGCGAGAAACUGAGUGGAGCAACAUUGAAUUAUCCUACCUAUGAUAAGGAGAUGCAUGCUUUAGUGCGAGCUUUGGAAACUUGGCAACAUUAUUUAUGGCCAAAGGAGUUUGUGAUCCACACUAACCAUGAAACCUUGAAGUACUUGAAAGGGCAGUAAAAUUUGAAUAAAAGGCAUGCGAAAUGGAUGGAGUUCAUUGAGACUUUUCCAUAUGUGAUCAAUUACAAGAAAUGUAAGGAGAAUGUGGUAGCCGAUGCACUUUCUCGAAGGUAUGCGAUUCUAACUACUUUAGAAGCAAAGUGUUUAGGUUUUGAGCAUAUCAAGAACUUAUAUACUGAUGAUGAUGACUUUAGGAGAGUGUUUGAAGCAUGUGAGCAUGCUGCAUUUGAUAAAUUCUAUAGGUGUGAAGGUUAUCUUUUCUGUGAAAACAAACUAUGUUUGCCUAAGUGUUCUUUGCGUGAAUUGUUGGUGCGAGAAGCGCAUAAUGGUGGUUUAAUGGGGCAUUUUGAUAUUAAUAAGACUUAUGAAGUGCUGCAUGAACAUUUUUAUUAGCCACAUAUGAAGAGAGAUGUCACACGUGUCUGUGAGAGAUGUAUUGCUUGUAAGCAAUUGAAGUCUACAACUAAACCACAUGGCUUAUAUACACCAUUACCUAUUCCAACGCANNNNNNNNNNNNNNNNNNNNNNNNNNNNNNNNNNNNNNNNNNNNNNNNNNNNNNNNNNNNNNNNNNNNNNNNNNNNNNNNNNNNNNNNNNNNNNNNNNNNAUGUGGUUGUUGAUCGGUUUUCAAAGAUGGCUCAUUUUAUACCUUGUUAUAAAAUUGAUGAUGCAUCUCAUGUUGCUAAUUUGUUAUUUAGGGAAGUUGUACGUUUGCAGGGCAUGCCUAGAUUGAUUGUUUCAAAUCGAGAUUCUAAAUUUCUUAGCUACUUUUGGAAAACAUUGUGGAAAAAACUAGGAAGACGGUUGUUAUUUUCUACUACUUGUCAUCCACAGACCGAUAGUCAAACCGAGGUAGUUAAUAGAACUUUAGGGGUAUUGUUGCGUGCUAUUAUUAAAAAGAACAAAAAAUCUUGGGAAGAUUGUCUGCCACAUGUUGAAUUUGCAUAUAAUAGGAGCAUACAUUCUGUUACUAAAUUUACACCAUUUGAGGUUGUUUAUGGUUUUAAUCUGUUAACUCCUUUAGAUUUAACCCAUUUACCUGUUAAUGAGUGUGUGGGUUUAGAUGGAGCAAAGAAAACUAAAUUUGUCAAGGCGUUACAUGAGAAGACGCGCACAAAUAUUGAGCGCAAGACUGAGCAAUAUACAAGGCAAGCCAACAAAAGGCGCAAGGAAGUAGUAUUUGAACCAGGCGAUUGGGUUUGGGUUCAUUUGCGCAAAGAGUGAUUUCUUGAGCAACGACAUUCUAAGUUAUUACCGUGAGGGGAUGGACCAUUCAUGGUGUUGGAAAGAGUUAACAAUAAUGCCUACAAGCUUGAUCUUCCAGGUAAGUAUGACCUUAGUGCCACAUUUAAUGUUUAUGAUUUAACUCUUUUUGAUGCCAAUGAUGAUUUGAGGGCAAAUCCUUUGCACGGGGGAGGGAAUGAUGUGGACAUCAAGCCAUAUCGAGGAGGAGGUGCUAGGGACCCAUUGUCUAUUCAUAUUAGUUCGAUUACUCGCGCGUGGGCCAAGCAAUUUAGGCAAUCUAUUGGCGUCAUGGUUCGUGAUCUUUGGCGUAGAGAUGACCUUGGAUCAAAUCUUGAAGAAUCUUGGAAAUCUUGGCGCAAUUUGAUUAUUUAGUCAUCAAAUAUUUGACCAAGUCAAAUAUAUAUAUCUUGUUUAGGAAUAUUCUAGAAUAUGAUGCAUUAUAUCUCUAGGAUUGGUUUUAGGGUUUGUGUGGCGGCUAGAAGGCCUAUAUAUAAAAUUGACCGAAUUUCUUUAGGGGAUAGACAUAUUUUUAUUUUUGAGGAAAAAGUUGAGAGAUUCUCUUCUACUGUUCUUUUGAGGACUUGACCUUAUCAAUGUUCCCUUGUGACGGUCGAUUCGAUUUAUCGAGCGAGAUAGCGAAUUCUUUCGCUUGUGGCGUCUAUAACGUUGGUUGGUUGACACGCGUUCGUCAACAAGUCACGUUCAUACCGAGGUUGCCAAUCACAGGUUUGAUUGGAGGUUGAGGUUCGCAAUUCGCACCAUCCAGGCCUUUGUGAAACGAUCUUUUCGCAACGAUUCACAUCAUCUAGUCCCUAAUUAAUCCAUUCUAACCACCUAACAAGCACAAUUGAAUAAUUAAAUCACUAAUCCAUUCUAAUUAAUCACCUAAUCUCAUCUUAAGCUAAACUAAUCACCCAUUAAGUAUCAUUAGCGCCAUAAUGAGAGUUUAGUGCAUAAACUUACCGAUUUAGCACAAAAAUCGGUUCACGAUGACGGCGGCCCGACAGUAGCCGAAACUCGGGCUUACAGCGGCGCCAAAGGAAGCUCGGAUUGGGCUGAAAACGGUCCGACACGUCUCAACUAAAGCUAAGAUUCAAACUUGCUUAUGUGGAGGGCUGCUAGUGGCAGCGUGAACUAGUCGAGCAGCGGGACUGAGCUGGGUACAGAGGAUCGCUGGGUUGGUGGCUUGAGGAGAAGAUGAAGCUAUUGUGUGAGGUCGAUGACUAUGGAGUUGGGCCUAAUGUUGGUGUUGCAUCAACUAAAAUGAGGGGAAGUAAACUGGCGUGAAGGGUGAGCUGGCAGGCUGAAACGGUGAGGCGGUGGUUUGGUGGGGAAUCGGGCUUUGGGGUGAGCGUGCAGGGGAAAGCUGGAUGGAAGGGCGGCAGCUUGAGGGAAAAGAAGAAGACGUGUGAGAUGGAGGGAAGAAAAAAAAGACAGAAGGGGAAGUUGGCAGCUAAGGGGGAAAGAAUUGUGCAAGAGAGAGAGGGAAAGAGGGAGAGACAUGCGUGAGAGGGAGAGGGCCGAAGGAAAGGGGGUUUGCACGUAUGGAGGGAAUGAGGGAGGCCAAAUGGUCAAGGGAAAAUAUUGUUGUGAUGAUUAUAAUGCCCCUAAAGUCCAAGCUUCAUCCACAAGUCAUUUUCACACCCAAAACUUCACCAACAAGCCAAAUUGAAGGUCAAGCAAGGUCCAUGCAGCUACACGAAUUUCCUCUUCAUUUUCUCUCAAUUCUUCUCCAAAUUAAGUCAAAUUGAGGGCCAAAAAUCCCAUGGAGGCAACUCUUACGAAUUUACACCAAGUCUCCACAAUUUACUUUAAUUUGGUAGCCAGAAAAUCUAAUUAAAGAGACCCCUCCGAAUUUAUUUUCUUUUUCGAAUUGAUUGAAAUUGAUUUUCCGUAAAAAUUCUAGGCUCACCAAAAAUUUCUCGAAAGAUGAGAUGAAGUCCUAAAAAUAAAUCGUGACAUGCUCAAACUUUCGAUUCCUGAAACCGGGUUUAAUUUCUUGGUUAAUUUGGAUCGGACGCGAUUUUAGCGUGACCUAACCUACUGGGUAGCUUUUAGGAAUUUUUAGCACAAUUGACCCGUGGUCAAUUAUUUUCGAAUCAUAUUGUACAUCUUCGACACAUUGGCAACUCUUGGUUGUUAUGAAAAUCUCAAGGGUUCAAAUACGGACAUGGGGUACCAAAACAACAGAAAAAUCGGUCGAGUGCCGAUCGACAAAAUUUUUGCAAUUAAGUAAAAACACCCACACUUAAUCACAUGAUUUGAUCGAAUCGACCUAUCUCCGGUCUCUAAUCGAUUUUUAACUGUGUCGUGGUGACCCUUACAGAUUAGCAUGAUCGAGCAAUUGAAUCCUGGUUGAAUUCUCAAGUCAGCUGCAUUUAGAUUUCUUAACAGCUUCACCUGAUAUGCUAGUUAUAUUGUGAGUGGCCAACUUAGAGAAAAGAACUAUAGGCGCAUCGAUGAAAAGCCUAUUUCAUUUAGUCGAAAGCAGGGUUUGAAAAUCAGAAUGUCACACAGCUGCACUCUCACCUAGAGCGGCAUCUACUACCACCGCGGGGAUCUCAAAACCCUAGAGGGGACCCUUCCUGUAUCCAAUGAAUCCGUGGCGAAACCACGCUCUGAAUCAAUGGGGGUACCUUCUGAGGUAGGCCUUCAUCGACCUAGACAGUGGUCACCAUGAGUUCAUAGACCUUGUGACCCUCGAGGUCAGGGUAGUCAAAACUCUGCUCGGUAACCCUCAUAGGCUGACCAAAACGUUCCGAAAGAACCGCCAUCUAAGGACCUAAAAAGAUUGAGCCACAACGGGGUGAGACAAUGUCUCAGCAAGUUCACCCUCUAAACUCCGACUAGGAAGGAAAUAUAUCUAGAGGCAGUCUAUGCACACGAGACAAAGGACUUACUUUGCCUUAGUUCCUUCCUACACAUCAAUACAAUUCAUAUACUCAACCAAUUCAUUCCUUCAAUAAAUUCAAUCGAUUCCAAUUCGAUUAUUGCUCGCACAAGCAUGAACUACCAACACACAUUGGUCCUUUGGCGUAGCCAGGGAUUACUGUUCACAAGCUGAGAUAGACUAUUGCUCACACAAGCUGACAGACCAUUGCUCACACAAGUUGACACAGAUCAUUACUCACACAAGCUGACAGAUCAUUGCUCAUACAAGCUGAUACAGAUCAUUGCUCACACAAGCUAAUACAUCGACUCACAUCGGGGAUGGGUUCACUUAACCAGAACUAGAAAAAUUGAUAUUCAUACUUUUAAAAUCUCACGAUUCGAUAUAAUCCUUAAAACCAUUUUCGGUGCUAAAACCCGACACCCGGGAUUUUUCUAAUAAAAUAUCAAAACUUCACAAUUUUGGAAUAAAUAACCAAAAUCACAAUUAUCACUCAAUUUGCACAAUUUAACAUUCAAUUGCAUAAACUAAGCACACCAUUGCAAUCAGCAUGAAAUUUCGAUCAUCGGCUAUCCCGAUAUAAUUUUUGGAAAAUAAUAAAUAAUUAAAUAAAUACCAAAAAUAAUUAAAUAAAUACAAUUAAAUACCAAAAAUACCAACUUAAGCCGGAAAUGCUAAAUUAACCACCUAAACAAGCCUAGAAAAUUUCUGAACAUAUCUAGAUAAAAAGCACAAUUUAUCUAGUCCCUAAUUAGGCCAUUCUAACCACCUAAUAUGCACAAUUGAAUAAUUAAAUCACUAAUCAAUGCUAACUAAUCACUUAAACCAUAAUUAGGUUAAACUAAUCAACCCCUAAGCAUCAUUAACUCCCUAAGCAGAUUUUAGCAAGUAAACUCACCGAUUUAGCAUUCCGAUGAGUUCACGACAACGGCGACGCAGAGGUGGGCAACAACCGAGCCUGCGGCGACACCAACGGAGGAUCGAGUGGGCUUAAAAAUGGGCCAUGAAGACCUAGGGCCCUUGCUAGCUUCGGCUACUGACCUUGGGUAGAAGGAGCUGGCGUAGGGCUACUGGCUGGCUGAAAUGGCACGGAGGUGGUGUAGCGGGGCCAGGUGGUGCUCAACGGUGGCUCCGGCGGCUUGGAUGGUGACGGAUGGUGGCCUAGUGACCUGUGACUGCCUGGACAGAGGUUUGGGGAGCGACGAGGAGUUGCGAAAUGAGCGGAAUGGCAAGGACACUCGGUUGGGCUAGCGGUUGGCGCGACGGGCGAGCGAGCGGUGUGCGGCGGCUCUGGUGGCUCCAAGCGUUGGUCGAUGGGCUAGGGGGGGCUUGCUCUAUUUUCCUCUGAUGUGUACAACCUCCAAAUACGAGGACAUACUAUGAACAUUCGAUGUGUGUGCAUCUAUGUGGUGCUUAGAGAAGUUACUCCUAUUUUGGAGUUUUAUAUGGUUUUAUGUCCAAGCUAUGGUAAGCUAAAAGUUAGACACGGGUUUCUCUAAUUUUGUAUGUUAUAUGUGGUUUGUCCUCGGUGUGGGUAAUGAAUUGGAGCCACGACGCCGAGCCUUGCCCCAAGGAUGUGAGGUCAACCCUUGGUGAGGGCAUUAAGGCCUUCGCCAAGGCCUGGCAAUCGAUAGAAGAAGAAGAGGAAACAAGUACGUAAGAAAUGAAAAGAAACCGAAAAGAAAAAGAAGGGUAAAAAACAGACCGAAAAUAAUACUUUUUUUUUUUUCAUUUCAAUUUUUUAUUUCAUGUGAGCAUUGGUCAUGUUACGUUAGAAGGCCGCCAAUGCUUUAACACUUUAACACCUUUCGAUACGUGGUCAACAGAUAUCAAAAAAUUUGACACGUGGUUAACUCUUCUAACACGGUCUGACAUGCUAGUCCAGAAUUCUGACACAUGAUUUCGACACGCUUGGGUCAAUUUUAAAAUUUUGCAAUAGAUGACAAGUCAAAAUGUAAAUAUGUACAAAAAUAAAUAGUAAUAAAAAUAAUAAAAGGGAGAAAGGAGAAAACCUAAUCUCCUCUUCUCUUUUGACUUUUACUUCCUAUAAUUCACAAUUUUUAGUGUAAAUUCAUUCUAGUCUUUUUUUAAGUCUUUUUUUUAUCAUAAUUUAUUUAUUUGUGAAUUUGAAUUGAAUUAAUUUGAUUGAAAUAAUCAUGGAAAUGAUAAUUUAUCAUGUAUAUAUAUAAAUAUAUAUUUAAUAUACGAUGUGCCCUAAUGUGUUCAACUUUUUUUUUCUUUUUUUAGAUAUGAUGUGUCGGCGUGUCGUGUCAUUUUGCGUGUCGCGUAUCGGUGUCGAUGCUACUUAGGAUUAUAUUGAAAGGUAAAACGUUAAAAAAUUUAGAAGUAAAUUGAUCAUAUCAAAAUAUUUAAAAUUGACUUGGUAUACAUGUCAAAGGUUUAACAACUUUUUACUAAUCAUUCUAUAUUUCGACACUCGUGUUGUGGCUUUUUUCUCCCAUAGAGGUUAUGAAUUACAAAUAUAGUAAUCUAAUUUUGGCCAAUUUAAGAACGGUAAUCUUUUGUCAACCCUCCUAGGAAAAAGAAUUUAUUGAACCUCGAAACAAUAGCAUAGCGGCUAUGAAGCUGUAUAAUAUCAUGCUACCAUAUAAAUGUAGAGUAGCUCAUCAUACCAUUUUCUUAUCUUUUUCAUAUGAUAAAAGUCAAUGUAAAAAGGUAGUUUCAACUAUUUCCUCAUCAAUGACGAUAACUUAAAUUUAUAGCACUAUCAAAAUUAAAUUUUCUUGUUUUUUGCUAAGUUAAAAUCUAUCUUACUUCACAAUAAUUUAGUUCAUCACUGAAAUCAAACAAAAUCUUUAUCUUCUCUCUAUUAUUCUACUUUCCAUGUACCAUUUUUCCAAUGAAGGAUUUAUCUCAACAAGGAAAAUUAUUUUAAUGAAAAGACGAUUAUGCCCUUCCGGAAUCAUCCAAUGACUCUCUAUCCUAUCACGAAGACAAGAACCGCCACCUUUUAGCUCUCUCUCUCUCUCUCUCUCUAUAUAUAUAUCAACACGUAUACCGUAUAGUUAUAACAGAGUCACUUUAGAGACCGAUCAAGAUCGCCAGGAAGAACGACGCCUCCGCUGUGAAAACACCCACCGAGAUGGCCGAGAAGAGCAGAGUCCUGGUGAUUGGAAGCACCGGAAGCAUCGGAAAGUUCAUUGUGGAAGCAAGUGUUAAGUUUGGUCACCCUACCUUCGCUCUCGUGAGGGAGUCCAGUCUCUCCGACCCAGCCAAGGCCAACAUCGCUGAAGGUUUCAAGAGCUUAGGCGUCAAAUUAGUUCACGUGAGUAGUUCUUCUGAUGCAAUCCUGUUCGUUUCUCGCAUUUGCUGCUCCUUUGAGGAAUCGAAGCGUCCCUUACCGUUAAUCUCAUCCGUCGUUUCGAAAAAUGUCUUUAACCGUAGAAUCAGAGUCGCAUUUGAUCUCAAUCUUUCACAAGAUUGAGUUGAUAUUUGCUGCUUCUCUUUCCCUCCUCUAGCAAUUUGUCCCUGUGUUAUUGGUCAUUUUUCACAUUGACUGACGAAUCGCCUCAGCUUCGCAUUCCGAUACGAAGUACAAAUAGAAUACAUUUUUAAACAAAUCUUAUGAAAACUUCUAUAUUUUACGUACUGCCUAAAUGAACUUGUAUAUAAAAGUGAAUGUGACUGACCUGUAAUUCAGAUGUCACCGCAAAUCCCCUGCUAUAACCUUUCAAAAGAUUGGUAGGCAAUGUGUGGUAAUUCUGUGGAUGCUUUAUUUCUUAUAAAACUUUUUCUCUUCUGGUGAAGCUAUUGAAGUCUUAUCUACAUCAGACUUCAUAUCUAUCCUUUUUCGUAGUCUUCCUACUGGCAAAGAUAGGAUUGAUUGAUGAUUGGCGACUUUAUUGAUUGUUUGUCCAUGCUCUUGAUUACUUGAUUCUCAGGGAGAUGUAUACGAUCAAGAGAGUCUGUUGACUGCGAUUAAGCAGGUUGAUGUGGUAAUCUCUGUUGUGGCGCAACAACAGGUAGCGAUCCAAGAUAAGAUUGUUGCAGCCAUCAAAGCAGCUGGGAAUAUCAAGGUGUGCAGUUUAUAAUAAUUUCAUCCAAGUUACCAUUGCUCGUUUAACAGUUGACUGAUGAUAUAGGAUGGUGCAAGCUUAACUCUUUUCUUUUGAGAUUAGUGCAUCACGUUCUCCUUGUGAGCUCCACUCUGAUGAAAUGGGAUGGAUUCAUUUACUUAUCCGUAGACUUCACUUCUUUCCUUUUUAAACGGUCAUGACUUUCUAUAGAAGUCGUUAAUGAAAUUUGAGGCUUACUAUUUCAAAUCCAAGUACCGGACAAUGCCGGAUUCACUGUGGUUGGGUUUCCUCUAGGUCAAUGAAAAAAAAGUAAAAGGUUUCAAGCGCUCGAUAUGGAUUAUGGUCAUGUACCCUAUCCUUUGAUCAAUAAUGGGAAACAUGAACUACCUAUUUCUUCAAAAGGUUAUUUUAGGUAAAAUUAAUAUUAUAGCAAAUAAGUUUUCAAAACCCAACUGGUGGAUAAUUUAGUAGUUGUUGCCUAGGGGGUUGACGGUCGGUAAAGAGUGGAGCUUAGCAUGCUCACAAAAGGCAAUGUACUCACCUGAUAUUUUAUUUCUUGUGAAAAGUGUACAAGUAAGGAGCAUCGUUGCGCAUUUUAUACUUGCCAGAUUUAUUUGGCUAUGGCCUAUGGCCCUAACAAUUAAAUCUUCAGUUUUCUUUUCUUCUACUUUUCUAAUAGCACUUAAUUUCUAGUCUUGAUUCACUUAUAAUCAUUUUUACUAUAUUAUAGUCCGUUUGGAAAAAAAAAAGAAAGUGAAAUUCAGUCUCAUGUAAGUUGUUUUCUUUGUUUUUUCUGUCAUAGUCACAUGUUGAAGAAAAAAGUCAAACAUUGUCACAUAUGAGUUUGGUUUCCUUUUUUUUUUUGCCAAAACUCAUGUAAGUUUGUUGGAUGAGGUGAAUUUGCUCUAGUUUUUUUGUUGCUUUCUAAUAAAAAUGUAUGUCCUGAUUCAAUUAAUUUUCUUUUUAGAGAUUCUUGCCUUCAGAGUUUGGAAACGAUGGGGAACGUCACCAUGCUGUGGAGCCAGCAAAAACUGUAUAUGAUACCAAGACCAAGAUCCGCCGCCUUGUUGAGGCUGAGGGAAUCCCUUAUACACAUGUGGUUUCUAACGCUUGUUCAGGUUACCACCUUUCGAAUUUGUCACAGCCUGGGGCUACAGCUCCCCCAAGAGAUAAAGUUGUCAUCUUAGGGGAUGGAAAUGCAAAAGGUAAGAAGCAGUGUGUCGAAAUGCGCAUUUUAAUUAGUUCAGAUAUUUCUGGAGGUUGAUCACGAUUUAAUUACGGUAGUGAUCAGUGUGAGGGGCAGCUCUUGAAGCUUGAGAAUUCCAGGGCAACGUCCUUGUCUGGAGAUGUUGGGACUCUUACAUCCAUUAGUCUUCACCUUCAGAGACUAAUAGAUUAUAUGAGUGUGUCGUGGUUUAUCUUGGCAUAAUAUCACCUAGUGGGCAGAUCGUGAAUGUUCUCUUUAUGUAUUUGGUGGAGGAAAGAACAUACGGAUGCAUCUGUCUGUUGGUUGUCUGAUGAAUCUGUUUACCGAGAGAAUUCUUCUUCAAUUCAAGCCGAAAGUAACACUAGGAAGAUCAGUGACUCUGUGAUUUAUUUAUGAGCUCAUGUCUUUCUGGGAGAGAGAGAUCGGCAAGGCUCUAGAGAGGGCGUAUGUUCCAGAGGAGGAGGUUCUAAAGAAUAUUCAAGGUUAGGGCUGCAUUUCUAUUGGAUUUAAGUGUGUAAAUUGUCUCUGUUCUCUCUAAAGAUUUAAAGCUUGUCCAGUCAUUACAGAGGCGGCGUUUCCGCAGAAUGUGAUAUUGGCAGUACUCCAUUCUGUUUUCGUGAAAGGAGACCAAGCCAACUUCGAGAUUAAGCCAUCAUUCGGAGUGGAAGCUUUGGAGCUCUACCCCAAUGUCAAGUACACGACUGUGGAUUAGUAUAUGGAUCAGUUUAUUUGAUUAUCGAACCCGAUUGUGCUUGUUAAAUUUCUCAUAUCGGCUUAAAUCAUAAAUAAUAUAGGAUGCUGCUUCUUAGGAUCCUAGUGUGAAAUGUCGCAUGCCCUGAUCAUCACAUGGCAUGUACAACCCCAAAGUUCGAGGACAUCCUAUGAAGUGCUUGGAGAAAUUUAUUUAUGUUUUGGAGAUUAAUAUUAGGUUCAUGGCCAAGCCGAGCUAGCACAAAGACAUGGAUUUUUCUAUUUUUCUAUAUUGUAUUUUCUUGCACGUCUAAAUGAUUCAAGACGACCACUAUCGAGAAGUCAGAUACUAGAUGUAUUACCAAAAAUGAAAUCUCCGUCAUGACCUAAUUAUGGAUAAUCUUAAAGAAUGACGAGUUAAAACAAACGUAAAUCGAUUAACGAACUUCUCACAAUAUCGAGUUAUCGUUAAUGUUUUGGGAGCUUUUAUUGUAUGAAUUUUCUUAACGUGAAAUACAUUAAUUGAUAUUGUAAGAAAUUUCUGUUGAUCGGACCCUCCUUGCCUAUAAAUAGGCGGGUUGCGAUCUCUGUUGAGGACGAGCGAGCAAGCUUGGAGAACUUCCCUGGAGAGACUUCAGGGGAGGCUCAAAGAGUAAGCAAGCAAGAGAGGCGUCGCGAGCUCAAACGACCUCCCCCAAGAGAGGUCAGGGGAGGUCGGCGGCGAGCGAACCCGAGAGAGAGGGGCUUCACGGUGAGAGAGAUCGUGAGCAAAACCCAGAUCUGUGGGUUGUGGGUGGAAGGGGGUAGACUGCCGUCGACGGUUGCGCCUGCAUCGUGACCAGCAACCCCACCGCUACGCCUCCUUGGCCGGUGAACUACGGUCUUCUUUUUUUGCGUUCUGGGCAAGCCAGGCCGGAGCUUGCGACCGCUUGGUUGCGAGCUUCGGCCGCGUUUAUUCCCUUUUUUUGGGCUGCUGUUGUGUUUGUUCGGCCAAAGCUACGGUUUAGCUCCAACCUCGUUCGGGCCGUGAGUCUCUCAACUCUAUAGCACACACCAUCCGUUCGACGAAAUGCCAAAGCUAGAUCCGGAACCUUGCGCUGAGGAAGUCCGUUCCAGAGCUUCAAUCACCGUCCGGAUGAGAGAGGAAAGACGUUGGGGAGACCUCCAGUCGAACGCUUUCCGCCGGCCAUGUCUAGCCAAGGCGGAUCUUUGCUGGCGACAAUAGCCAGCCAAGCUGGUUCUCAGCCGGCGACGGUGGUCAGCUGGGCUCGCCCUCGGUUGGCGCCAUGGCCGAUCGAAAGCUCGUCUCCGAUCUGGGCUGGCUGAGGUGUCACCGGACUGAGGGGUGUGGCCAGCCCACCGUGAGCGGCGUCCCCCAUUGGCGCCGUCUUCUUCCCUGCGGACAAGCUGCAGUGAAGGGGGGAUGAAUCGGGUGAGCCUGCGGAUCGGGCUAACGCAGUUCAUUUGAUUCUUCGGGUAGGGUUUCGUCAGCAUGGGCCUAUCGCGGCAGGCCGUCUGAUUUUCAAGCUUCAGUUGGGCCAUCUUUUUACAAAUCAAAAUCUGCUGGGUUGGGCUAAAAAUUAAAAUGUUGGGUUUGAAUUUCUUUGCGGGCCUGGCCCGCGCCUCAGGCUCGUUCCGAGCAGCCCCUGGUUUCUACGAUUGUGUCGUUUUUAUAUUAUUAUAAUUAUAAUAAUAUUUUAAUAAAAUCAAAAUAAAUAAAUUAUUUAUUCAAAGAGUCAGAAAAACCCAAAAAUAUUUUAUGUUUUCCCAAAAAAAUCAUGAACAAGCGAAAAAUAAUUUAUAUUUUCAAAAAAGGGUAAAAAAUAAAAAUAAAAAUGCUUUUAUGUUAAAGUGUGUUUUUCCUCCACAAAUGCAUAGAAAAUCCCUUGAAAUUCCAAAAAGCUUUAGGGUUCAGAUAAGAUUAGGUACCGGAAGGACAGUAGUGAUUAACUAGUGUAAUUAAGUUCCCGAUCUUAGUUUUCCUGGUUGCACAGAAGCGAAUAUUUCUCCCAAUAUUUCGCUUGGGUUUCUAACUCAACCCACCUCAAAUUGAUUAGUGGCGACUCAUUUUAAAAUUAACUUAUAGUUUUAAAAAAUAUUAAACCAUUAAGUCCUGAAUUGGUGAGCUUGGGAGAGCCCAAGCUAAGCCUAAUAGAUAUAGCCGAGCCAUAAGCCUAUGUAGGCACUCGCCCUAAUCGGGCACUGAAAAUAGAGAUUGUGACAAGGAACAUGCCCUAGUUUUUGUUGCUUUCUAAUAAAAAUGUUUCUUCUAAUUCAAAUAAUUUUCUUCUUAGAGAUUCUUGCCUUCAGAGUUUGGAAAUGACGUGGAUCGUGUCCAUGCUAUGGAGCCAGCAAAAAAUGCAUUUGCUAUCAAGGCCAAGAUUUGCCAUCUUAUUGAGGCUGCGAGAAUCCCUUAUACGUAUGUAUCUUCUAACUUGUUUGCAGGUUACUUCCUCCUAACAUUGUCACAACCUGGGGCUACAGCUCCCCCUAGAGAUAAAGUUGUUAUCUUAGGGGAUGGAAAUGUAAAAG
Molecule: long non-coding RNA, 54235 nt
Filed under: Eucalyptus grandis
Lineage: Eukaryota; Viridiplantae; Streptophyta; Magnoliopsida; Myrtales; Myrtaceae
Description: long non-coding RNA (EGRA_LNC002537)
Source: RNAcentral